RNAcentral lists this long non-coding RNA (62366 nucleotides) under Triticum aestivum (bread wheat). Its description in RNAcentral is "long non-coding RNA (TAES_LNC003685)". The record is from RNAcentral. Lineage: Eukaryota; Viridiplantae; Streptophyta; Magnoliopsida; Poales; Poaceae.
UACCAUUAGCGUCGUCGUUCACCAGGUGACUCAAACCAAGGUAGCCUCGAAGCGAGAUCGAUCCGUGAAGGUGCUGCCCGGCCGGUCUCAAUUAGUUAGGUUUCUUGUACAUAUGCUCAAGAUCUUUUGCUUCAUUUCUCGUUUGGGUUCGUCGAUCUGGUGCUAUAGAGGGGUGGAUGGCGAAGAACAAGCACUAGAAGGUGGAUGGGGUUUUAGGAUGCCAGGUUUUGCUGGUUUUAUGCCCGUGGUGGCGGCGGCGCCGCCGCCGCCGAUGAUGAUGAUGAAAAAUUAGCUGAAGUAAAAGAUUUUCAGUCUGAACUUCUUAUGAACUAUCUUAGCGAUGAUGGUGAUGAGUACUCCGUAUUAGUGUGUGCUUUGUUAUGUGAUUGAAAAACCUUGUGUGCCUAACUCUAACUGACUGCCCACUCCGUUCAUGGUCACUGCUGUGCUAGGCUGCCAGCGGCGUCACUGUCAAGGCUUUGCUUCAUAGAAUGAGGUGACUUGAUGUGCACCCAUGGCCCCUUCUUUCAUCAGUUUCUUCGUCAGUCCUCUCUCAGGGACUAGAGUUUAGGACAGUGAGAGUGCAAUGGCGCCACCUCGAUCACUUUCCCGAUUCCUCCAUGGCAUGAUAGCACUCUACCUUUUGUUUGUGAGAUGACACUCGACCUGCCGCACAAGAUAUGGCACUAGACAGAAAACCGUUCAAGAUAUUUCGUUUAAUCUCAGAAGAAACCGUCCAGUUAGUUGCUGAAGAUUGAAGAAGACCACAGCUGUAAAUAUCAGUCUGUGAGAAGAUGGAUGGGGUAGGUGGUGACGCUGGCGAGACGUGCGAUUUACGAUAUGAUAAGCAGGCGAUCAAUUCUGCUCCCGGGGUAGAGUAGACCAGCUAGCUAUUGCACCAAAUUCCGUCUCCCGUCAGCUGGAGGAGAGGAAUCCUCGAGAAACAAGGAACCAUCCACAAAUGGCACUCCUCUCCAAGGGGAAUGAGAGCAACGGCACACGAUUAAGAAACAAUAAACCGCGCUAAUAAUGCUCCGACGUGUCGUGUGCUCCAAAGAAAAAUGGCAAGUCGCGUCGCGUGUCAGAUCAGCGCAUGAGGACGACGAUAGGCGGGUCGCUUUAUCGCCGUGGGGCGUGGGAUGGCCAUGCCGAGGCUCGGGUCCACGUCCAACCAGCCAUCCGUCCCGGAUCGGAUUUGGUGGGGGCGGGGCCCACCGGACAGUCAAAAAAACUUGUCGACUCUGACCAGAUCCUUCCUGUUCACCGAGACGAGUGCGAAUGAAUGGGAUGAUUGAUUCGCAUCGGCUGAUUGAGGGCACGACGCGAUGCCUUCUUGGUCCUCUGUUAUUACUCCGCGUGCACGCAGUCUGGAUGGAGAGACUGCACGUGCACGUACGUACUCUACAUCCUCCGUAGAUUUGGCGUUUUGUUCCGAUCUUUCUACCCUGCGGCAAUGCCAUGGACGUUUGCGACUGUGUCAACUGUGAAGAAAGCUGAUCGUUUCCGUGGUGCUGCGUUGCUGCUAAAACUGCUUGGCGUGUCUCCGCGGUGUUGUUUAUGGGGCAAGAGCUCUAGAGACCCAGAAACUUGCGUUGGAUGUGAUGGUUUAGUCCAUAAACUUGUAAAAGAUGAUCAACUAGUCCACAAACUUGCAAACUAUGUGAUGGUUUAGUCCACAGCCAAUCAGAGGCGGACAAUUGGCGCCCAGCUGGGUGCUUCGUGGCACAUAUCAUCGGAACGGCGUUUUUUUUGGAAAACCCCUCAACGUUUCGGUAAAUCACACCCGCAGAAGAUGCUAACGAGCUUACGUUUAUUUCACGUAGAAAACAAACAAACUAACAAGCUCGUUAGUUUGAUUUUCACGCUCGUUCAUUUGUUUGUUUGUUUUCAACUCCGGCAGCGCAAUGUUGAGGCCACUGGCCGCCGCCAUGCCACCCGUGUCGGAGUUGGGAGUCCCCGAAGUUGAAGAUCACCACGGGGGACCUCUUGGUGGCAGGCUCCGGCUCCGCGGCGUGGGUGGCGACGGCCAGGCCGCUCCCCCCCCCCCCAAGGACCCAUAGCCGGCCGCCACCACCGCCGCCGCCGGCAUGUACUUGAGGCAGGCGACGAGCAACACCGCGCCCACCCCCACCAGCAGCACGUAGUACUGCAGCCGCAGGCUGAUCUUGGCCGCGCCCACGCCCCCUCCGCCGUUUAUCUCGGCGCCCCCUCGGCCGUUCAUCUCGCCAGCGCUGACGCUCUCUCGGCCUUGCUCUGUCUCUCAAGCUCCUUGCGCUGGCUGGGGAAGUGUCUGCGUGGCUGUGUAGUGUACCCGUCCGGCCGUCCGACCGUGUAUGGAUAUAUGCAGGCGGUUGAGGGUCCGUGAGGGUGGGGCGCACCGUCUCUUCCGUGUCCUUGGGAGAGGAGAUGGGAUGAUGAUGUGAUGCAUGUAUUGUCACGCACCGCAUGGAAGAAGAGGGAUCGGAAAAAGCAAAGGUGACGGCAAUGGAUGCGCGCGCAUGUUGCAAUAAACAUCUCGGCUCGUAAGCUCGUUACCUGGUCGGACCGGCCUCUUUUUUUUAGCAUCAGUACAGACACAAGCGCUCAUAUACACGCGCAUACACUCACCCCUAUAAACGCGCACACGCACACCCUACCCCUAUGAGCACCUCCGAAAGACUGAGCCGACAUAUCAUCUUUAGAUUUACGAAGCCAUCGUAGGCACCUCGUCGUCGACGGGAACGUCUGCUCCCACUGAAAGCGAGCACCAGAAUUUGAACCCUGAUGGGUUGGGGAGACCACUGUCCACCUAAUCAUCUCAACCAUAGGUUGGUUCCCACCGACCUCGUUGUUUAUUUCACGUACUAGAAAACAAACAAAGUAACGACCUUACGUUUUUACCGAAAAGCCGCUCCUAAUCUCAGAGCUUACUCAGCCAAGCCACAGCCGAAAGGAGCCAUGAUGCAGAGAGAGACAAGCCAAUCCCACGAUCUGAGAAAAGGACACGGCCACACCGCAGAGAAACUUGAACGGAGAAAAUGACGAGUGGACACCGGUUACCAGAAGCAGAAACGAGAGACAUCGAAUCGAUCAUGGUAUGCGGUGCUCGAGUCCCCCCGGUGUAGAGUUCAUGGCUUGGCUUGUUGGUGCCAACCUUUCCUGCUGGUAUCGAUUGAUUCAGUUUUGUUUUGCAAAGUGCCCGUUCUGUUCAAGUUCAACCGUAUAGCGUUACCAUGUUGUAAGUGUACAAAAUGAUACGAGAAUUCACGUCCCAUACAUGUAGAGCAGUGGUGCGAAAGCAGCAGAUCUGCCUUGCACAUGUUGCUUUUGCACAAUGAUUUCAUUUUACCGUUUCUUAAGAAGGAAAAUGGGGGAAAAGGAGUUGAACUCAAAUGCACAUAAGACGUGAUUGAAAACACUGUCGACCAAGGGACCAGAUCAAUGUCCGUCUAAACUCGUUACAGGGAUGACAGCAGCUAACAAGUUACAAGGACUGUGGGCGUGAUUUCCUGAAACGUUGAGGGGUUUUCCACAAAAAAAACCGGUCCGACCAGGUGCCACUAAGCAUCCAACUGGGCGUCAAUUGUCCGUCUCCGAUUGGCUGUGGACUAAACCAUCACAUAGUUUGUAAGUUUGUGGACUAGUUGAUCACCUUUUGCAAGUUUAUGGACUAAAUCAUCACAUCCAACGCAAAUUUCUGGGUCUCUAGUGCUCUUGCCUCGUUGUUUAGCUGGGCACCCUAUCGACUAGUUCAGGAAACUUGGUGGUCGCUGGCCAGCUUUGCUGCAGACACGGCGACUGGCUCCUAGUAUAAAGUAGCCGCAGUGCUGCUACAUGGGGAAGCUGACGCUUCUUGACAUGAAGUAUUCACAAGCUGCGGGGGAGAGCAACAGAAGCAGAACUGAGACCAAGAACGAGUCAGCACAGCAUUUCUUGCAAGUUUGCCCGUGACACUGUUCCUGGUCAAUCGAUGAGGGGUCACUCGUCGAUCCAUGAGCCGGCCAAUGCAAGGACAGCAACGUAGCAUAGUACGUGGGAUGCAAGAUCAUCAAGCAGAUCAACAACACAACUCAGGGAAACUCCAACGGCCCCAAACAAACAUAUGUUUUGCCCGAAUUUUGUUAGUUUGGGAUAGAAAAACGGAUACGUCUGCCCACUUGCGAUCGUGCGGCCGUCGGUUUGUCCAACCGGUCCGCCGCAUCCCAACUAUCCGUGUAUUUGGACUUGAAUUUUGACCCACAAAAAACCUAAAUAAACAUUGCAAAUAAUAUAAAAAUAUUAAUAUAAACAUUAAAACGUCCACACGUCCGCGGUAGCCAAGUUCAACACAGUUCUUAAAUAAAUUAAAACUUAAAAGACAUAAAUUAAACUAGAUAGGCCGUUGUUGUCUUGAGUAGCCGCCGUCCUACUCCUCGUGGUCGUCGUCGGUGUGGCCCGCCGUCGUCUUCAGUAGCCGCCGUCCUAUUCCUUGUCAUCGUCGUCGUCGUUGUCGGCGAGGCCGCCGUCGUCUUCAGUAGCCGCCAUCGUACUCGUCAUCAUAGCGGUGAGGUCGACGUAUGGAGGUUGCUGCCAGAGGUGGGCUGACGACCCCUGCCACACCGGAGGCGCCUGCAGCACUACCUCCCCCUGCUCCGGUGACCGUGGCGGUCUGGGUGACCAUGGCCCGACACCCACCGCAUUGGCCAUCUUUGGCGCUGUGGACGACCAGCUCCACGGCUGGCCCACCAGGCGCGGGUUCCACGUGGCGAUGGGCGGCUCCUCGAUCACCUCUUCUUGCACCUCCUCCUUGACAACCAUGUCCAACUCCGGGACGACGACAUCCCGACCGCAAAGAGGGCUGAUGCGGAGCAUCCCUGAUCAUCCCCAUGGACUCUACCUCAACCAUCCAAGCUCCAAGUGGACCCAUGACAAGAGCAAGGGCUCGGCUAUUCAAUCUGAGGUGACAUCACUCCUACUUGAGCUUCCCUUUUCUUCUAGUGAGGCAUGGUUACUGCCUAAGUCAGAGAUACUAUGUGUGAUCAGGUACAAUGCUCAAGCCACGGAGACGAAAGCUGAAGAAGAAGUGACUGGCGUCAACUCUCUGGACAGCCCGGAACUUCCGGCCAGAGCCCGGAACUUUCGGCCCCCGGAACCUCUGGCCGUCCCACAACUUCCGGCCUCCGACGACUUCGACCGGGCCGGGCAUGCCAACUCUCUGGUUAGCCCGGAACCCGCCCGGAACCUGGCCCGGACCUUCCGGCCCCCGGAACUUCCGGCCCCCGGACGCCAGUCCAGCUCCUCCCGCGUCAACUUUCGGCUUAGGCCGAACCCUGCCCGGAACCUCCGGCGCCCGGAACUUCCGGCCUGGCCCGGAACUUCCGGCCCUACCUGCGUGCAGCCACUUGGGCUGAGGCCCGUGUACCCUUUCGCCCCGUAGACUAUAUAUACUCUUCUUCUACCUACUUCUAGGGUUAGCAUUGUGAUAGCUCAUUUGAGAUAGAGCAUUGCUCAUCCGUACAAGAUCUACUCCUCGUGAGGGACCGCACCUCCUCGGAGAAGAUCCAUCCGGAUUCAAGACCUCCAUCCGGAGAAGACAAUCAAGAGCUCCUCACGGAGAAGAACGGUUACUCUUGUAUCGUCCCUUGUUGAUUUUGAAUCUUGUGUUACUUGUGCCUCGAUGAUCUAGCACUCGUGUGAUCAAUUUCGUGUCGGUUGAGUGUUUCUCCGUGUUUCCCCUCGUGAUUUCCCUCGUGUUCUUCCGCGCGUUCUUCGUGUUCCCCGUAGGAUCCUCUCCAAACGUGAAAGAUCGGCCACCUAGGGUUCCGCCCUACAUCAUCUUGGUAUCAUGAGCCAGGUUGAUCACGUUUUUGAGCCCCUACCCCGUGUUUUCUAGCUUGAUUUUGUUGUUUUUGUCCUAAAUUCGAAAAUCCCCGCAAAAAUAGCCCUCCCAAUUUUUUUUGUGAUUUGCUGGUGUGAUGAAAUUUUGUUGGAUUUGAUCCACGGAUCGGCUUUGCAACGUGUGGAUCUAGCUUCCCCACCCUUCUCCCCCCCAAAUUUCUUCUUUUCCCCCUCGGAUUUGGGAUUUCCCGAAGUUUUUCCGCCCAAAUCCACAUUUUCCCAAGUCUCUGUUCUUAGCAGAAUCGCGACCCCCGAAACUUCCGGCCUUGCCCGGAACUUCCGGCCCCCGGAACUUCCGGCCGUCCUCGGAACUUCCGGACCCCGGACCUUCCGUCUUGCCCGGAACUUCCGGCCUAGACAGAAAGUUCGCGCAGCUCCCGACUUCCAUUUUCCACUCGCACCACUACCGCUUUUCGCGUGCACCAUCGUUACUUACCAUUACCACCUCCGACACGCGUUGACACGCUUUGGGUCUUUGAGUUUUUGAGUUGUGGUUCCCGUGUCCUAUUGUGUUUCGGCUAUAUAGGUACGGUUCGAAGUCAUCAUCACCACCACUCAUCUUCGCCAAGGACUCGUCAUCGCCAAGGACGGUAACUUCGACGACAUCUUUGUCAUACCUUGCAAUUGUAUUGAUAACCAUCAUAGCCCAUCUUUUGUGUUGCUUACCCAUCGAGACUAGCCAUUGAGUAUUGCUGGCAACGUGACUUGUGCACAUUAGUGAUCAUACUCCAUACCAUACAUACCAUCUCAUAGUGGUGCAUAGCUUAAUAUCAUCUUUUGUGUCACAAAGUUUUCAUUGCAUACACAAUUGCUAUCUUGGUUCGUGAAGUUUUGCACGAGAAAAGAGCUCAAAAGUGAAAGAGCCAAACAAGCUUUUAAGCAAGGAAGGAAAGAUAAGCAAAGAGCUUAUAAGCAAGAACCAUAGCAUCAUACUACAUUAAGAUUGUCAUAUCCGAUCAUCUUGGAUCAUAGCACCUAAAUACCAUACAUAUAACAUACUUGGGAUAGAGGUCAUUGCAUUUUUGCCUAGUAGGUUGUGCACAAGUUACGUAUCCGCCUAUUGUGCAAUCGUGCUAGCAUCUCUCUAGUAUUGUGCAACAAGAGCAUCUUCGUGGACUCCACAUUUUCGCUCACUUUUGGUUUGCACAGUCCCAUCUAUCUAUUUGCGUGUGUGUUUCCGUGUACAACUUCUUGCUUGGUCUACUUGUUGCAUUUGCAAAUUUGUGAAUCUUUUCCAACAUUAUUGAGGCUCACUUACAAUUGCAUCAAAUUUUGUGCCACCAUCCUAAACAAGCUCCUCCAUAAGCUUUUACUUGUAGGUGUGAGAACCGACAAGAAUUUGUACCAACAGUGCUAUUUCAUUGUCCGCAUUUGAGUGAACUUGAUUCAUCUUCAACAUCGGUCAAGGUACAAUUGGUAUACGUUCUUCUCCUUCUACCACUUACAUUUUGUUUGGAAUGAUGGAUAGGCCAAGUUCUUCUACCAAUCCACCCCUCAUCGAGAACGGCAACGACAUGUCAUCAUUCGUCACCAAGAACCACCUCUUUGGUGCUUAACAGGCGUUGCACCAAGAGCAACAAGCAAUGAGCGACCGCAUCGACAACCUCGCCACCGACUUGCGACUCUUCAAGCAACGUACAAGAGACUACUUCAACAACAAGUUCGACGCUCACAAGCAAGAGAAUGAUUCAAGGAUGGAUGAGAUCCGCGCUUUGAUGGGGAACCGCCAUCCUUCCGCGUCUUCAUCCUCAAGACGGAGCCGCUCAAGUCGACACUCCGACGACACCUUCUCCGACUCGAGUACACCGACAUCGAACACUCUUCGACGAGCCGUGCGUCAAGACCGUCAUGCAUCUGGCAAUCCGCUACAUGACAAGCGUUCACAAGAGCAAGUCGACAAGCAUCUACCUCAUCCUCCACCACAUCAAGUUGCAUUUGCUCAAGCUCAAGAACGACAAUGUCAACAUCGCCAAGAGGAAGAACGAGCGCGUCUACACCAAGAAGAACAAGACGUCGAGGCUCUACGUCUUCAACAACAACAAUGUGAAGCGCAAGCUCUUGAGGCGCAACGUGCCCUUCAAGAAUCAAGUCGAGCCAUCGCCAACUGCAAUCGGGGGCGGCGCAAUCAAGAGGAAGACCUUCGAGAAGAAAUCCAAGAGAGGAACUACCAACCGCGAGAGCAACGUCAAGUUCCUCAAGCUCCUCCACAAGCUCGUCAAGCUCCACCUCAACCUCAAGUUCAACAAGAGCAAGUUGAUCAUGGCCUUCUCCCGCGCCAAGAGCAACAUGAGGAUGAUUAUCCCCCACGUCAAGGGCGUCAUCAUCACCAUCGCCAACAACACAAUGAAGAGCAACACUAUGGCAAGCUAAAAUUCACCAUGCCCAAGUUCGGAAGCAAUGAUCCCGAAGAAUACCUCUCAUGGGCAUUGAAAGUCGACAAAAUCUUUCGUUUGCACAACUAUGAGGAAGAGAAGAAGAUCGCUAUGGCAUCACUUGAGUUCCAAGACUAUGUGCUCAUAUGGUGGGAACAAGUCCUUGAGCGCCGACAAGCAAGAGGUGAACCUCCAAUCACAACUUGGGCUCAAAUGAAGGAUGUCAUGCGAGCACGCUUUGUGCCCACCUACUACAACCGCGAUCUCUUCAAGAAGCUACAACUCCUCAAGCAAGGAACAAAGGGUGUUGAAGAAUACUACAAGGAAAUGGAGAUAGCCAUGAUCCGAGCCAAUGUCACGGAAGAUGAUGAGCAAACUAUGGCACGCUUCUUGAAUGGCCUCAAUCGUCCCAUCAAGAAGAUUGCGGACUUCCAACCCUAUUCCAACCUCAUUGAGCUCGUGCAUCAAGCUACCAAGGCGGAACGUCAAGUGCAAGAUGACUUCAAGUACGCCAAGUACUCCUCCAAGACCUACGGUUUCUCCAACAACCAAGCUUCAACGACUCCUCCAACGUCUACUUCAACCAAGCCAUCUACAAGCAAUGACGACAAGUCAAGUUACAAGAAAACUUCGACAAGCUCAAGUCGUCCUCUUCCUACUACAAGCAACUUCAAACCGCGUGCUUCAUCAUCUACUCCGACCGAUGAGACCGUCAAGACAAGCUCCUUCAAGUGUUUCACUUGCGGCGGCCGAGGCCACAAUUCCUACGAAUGCACAAACAAGCGCACCAUGAUCCUCAAUGACGAUGGUACAUAUGACUCCAUGAGUGAAGAGGAAAUGGAAGCCCUUGAGCAAGUGGACAUGCACCGGCGAGUGAAUGAGGAUGAAGAUGAUCAAGUCUUUUGUGAUGAAGAUUCGAGCCCCGCUCUCGUUGUCUCCAAAGUCUUGACUCUUCAGCAUCAACAAGAAGAAGACCAAAGAUGCCACAUCUUCCAAACAAAUGCCGGCAUCAAGGGAAGGUCAGUCAAGGUCAUCAUCGAUGGAGGUAGUUGCCACAACUCGGCAAGUGAGGAGCUAUGUUCCAAGCUACAAUUGGUUAAGAUGAAGCACCCGCACCCAUACAAGAUUCAAUGGCUAAGUGACUCUGGCACUAUACGAGUUGAGCAUACGGUGCAAGUCUCCUUCAAAAUCAGUGCAUAUGAGGACACUUUGGAGUGUGAUGUCGUCUCGAUGUACGUUUGCCACCUCCUUCUUGGUAGGCCAUGGCAAUUCGACCGUGGUGUCAUCCACAACGGGCGUACCAAUCACUAUAGCUUCAAGAUGAAAGGGAAGGAAUAUGUGCUACGACCUAUGUCUCCUAGUCAAGUGAUAGCCGACAAGCAAGCCACCCAUCGUGGAGAGAAGAGUGAGAAAGUGAUCAACCAAAAAGUGAGUGAGAGCCACAAGCCAAACUUGAGUGCCUCUUCGCCUAGAGAGAAAAACCUAGUCCUAUUUGCUACCAAAAGCGAGAUGAGAGAAGUGUGUGAGAACCCAUCGAGUGUUAUGCACUUUGUCCUUGUGUGCAAGGAUGGGGACCCAACAACUAACACCUCUCAUGAGCUAGCUUUAGUGUUUAAAUCUCUUUUGCAGGAAUUCCAAGAUAUUUUUCCCGAUGAGCUACCUCCGGGUCUACCUCCUCUACGAGGCAUUGAGCAUCGAAUCGACCUCAUCCCCGGAGCGCCCCUACCAAACAAAGCUCCAUACCGUGUCAACCCAGAAGAAACUAAAGAGAUCCAAUGGCAAGUACAACAACUCAUCGACAACGGUCAUGUACGUGAAAGCUUAAGUCCUUGUGCCGUUCCCGUUAUACUUGUGCCCAAGCAAGACAGUAGUUUUCGCAUGUGCUCGGAUUGUAGACCUAUUAAUGCUAUUACCGUUCAUUAUAGGCAUCCCAUUCCUCGCUUAGAUGAUAUGCUUGAUGAACUUAGCGGUGCCGCCUUUUUCUCAAAAAUAGAUCUUAAAAGUGGCUAUUAUCAAAUCCGCAUACAAGAGGGUGAUGAAUGGAAAACUGCUUUCAAAACCAAAUUUGGCUAGUACGAGUGGUUAGUUAUGCCUAUGGGUUUGUCGGAAGCUUCCGGUACUUUCAUGCGUCUUAUGCAUUUUGUGCUUCGACCUUACAUUGGAGUCUUUGUUGUCGUUUACUUUGAUGAUAUUCUUGUGUUUAGCAAAUCUCUGAAAGACCAUCUUGUUCAUGUUAGGGCUGUUUUGCAAACCCUCCGCAAGGAACGUCUUUAUGCCAACAUGAAGAAGUGUAUGUUUGGUGUUGACAAACUUGUUUUUUUGGGUUUUGUCAUUUCUUCCAAGGGUGUCCAUGUUGAUGAAUCUAAGAUUGCAGCAAUUAAAACUUGGCCCCAACCCACCAAUUUGCAACAAGUGUGUAGCUUUCUUGGUUUGCAGGUUUUUAUCGUCGCUUUGUGAAAGACUUUAGCACUAUUGCCUCUCCUUUGCAUGCCUUGAGUAAGAAGAAUGCUCCUUUUGUUUGGGGAUCUUUGCAAUCCACCGCUUUUGACGAGCUCAAAUCUUUGCUUACUCAUGCGCCGAUUCUUGCUUUACCCAACUUUGACAAAACUUUUGAGGUUCAUUGUGAUGCUAGCGGUACCGGAAUUGGCGGAGUUUUGAUGCAAGAAAAAUGAGCCAUUGCAUAUUUUAGUGAAAAACUCUCCGGUGCUCAACUUAACUAUCCCAUCUAUGACAAAGAAUUGUAUGCGUUAGUGCGCGUACUACAUGUUUGGGAACAUUAUCUUAGACCUCAUGAGUUUGUCAUCCAUACCGAUCAUGAAAUGCUUAAGUACUUAAAAGGUCAAACUAAAUUGAACAACCGUCAUGCCAAUUGGAGUGAGUUUAUUGAAUCUUUCCCCUAUGUGAUCAAGUACAUUAAGGGUAAGGAAAAUGUAGUUGCCGAUGCACUUUCACGCAUAUUCACUCUUGUCACUAAACUUGAGCUGAAUGUUAUUGGUUUUGAGCAUAUAAAAGACUUGUAUGAGCAUGAUCCUUCUUUUGCUACUCCUUAUGCUAAGUGUUUGACACACACGUCUUGGGAACGAUACUACAUAAAGGAUGAUUAUCUUAUGGGAGCUAACAAACUUUGCAUUCCCGAGUCUUCUCUUCGUUUGUUCCUUUUGCAAGAGGCUCAUGGAGGCGGACUCAUGGGACAUUUUGGACGCGACAAGACUUUUGCCAUGCUCUCCAAGAACUACUUUUGGCCCAAGAUGUUCCGCGACAUCUCACGCUUCACCAACCGUUGCUCUACAUGUCGCAAAGCUAAGUCUAAAGCCCAAUCCCAUGGUCUUUACAUGCCCCUUCCUAUUCCUUAUCAACCUUGGGAAUACAUUAGCAUGGAUCUUGUACUUGGUUUGCCUAGAACUCAAAAUGGCAAGGAUUCCGUCUUUGUUGUUGUGGAUCGAUUUUCUAAGAUGGCACAUUUCAUUCCUUGCAACAAGAUAGACGAUGCUUCACAUAUUGCCAAUCUCUUUUGUAGGGAAAUCUUGCGACUACAUGGAGUACCGAAGACAAUUGUCUCCGACCGCGACGUCAAGUUCUUGAGUUACUUUUGGAAGACGCUAUGCGCUAAGCUCGAAAUCAAGCUCUUGUUCUCUUCGGCAUACCAUCCUCAAACCGACGGCCAAACGGAGGUGACGAACUAUACACUCUCCACUCUCCUUCGCGUGUUGAUCAAGAAGAACAUCAAGGAGUGGGAGGCGUGUCUACCCAUCGCCUAGUAUGCCUACAACCACGCAAGGCAUUCAACUACCGGCAAGUCUCCUUUCGAGGUCGUCUACGGCUUCAACCCGUUGUCACCAUUGGACAUCCUUCCUCUUCCACUACAAGAGCGCACCAACAUGGACGCAAGUGCCCGCGCAAGCUACAUCAAGAAGAUGCAUGAAGAUACAAGACAAACCAUUGAGCGCCAAGUGCAACGACUCGCGACAAAACUCAACGCCAACAAGCAACCCAUGAUCUUCGACAUUGGCGAUCUCGUGUGGCUACACCUUCGCAAGGACCACUUCCCCAACGAACACAAGUCCAAACUACUACCUCGAGCCGAUGGACCCUUCAAGUGCUAGCACGCUACAACAACAACGCCUACAAGAUCGACAACCCAUGCGACAAGUACUCCGUGAGCGAUAUCUUCAACGUCCACGAUCUCUCCCCGUACCAUGGUGAUGAGGAUUUCGAUCUGAGGUCGGAUCUUUCCCAAGGGAGGGAAGAUGAUGCGGAGCAUCCCGUGAUCAUCCCCAUGGACUCUACCUCAACCAUCCAAGCUCCAACUGGACCCAUGACAAGAGCAAGGGCUCGUGCUAUUCAAGCCGAGGAGACAUCACUCCUACUUGAGCUUCCCUUUUCUUCUAGUGAGGCAUGGUUACUGCCUAAGUCAGAGAUACUAUGUGUGAUCAGGUACAACGCUCAAGCCACGGAGACGAAAGCUGAAGAAUAAGUGACUGGCGUCAACUCUCUGGACAGCCCGGAACUUCCGGCCAGAGCCCGGAACUUCCGGGCCCCAGAACCUCUGGCCGACCCGGAACUUCCGACCUCCGACGACUUCGACCAGGCCGGGCGUGCCAACUCUCUGGUUAGCCCGGAACCUGGCCCGGACCUUCCGGCCUGCCCGGACCUUCCGACCCCCGGAUGCCAACCUAGCUCCUCCCGCGUCAACUUUUGGCUUAGGCCGGACCCUGCCCGGAACCUCCGGCACCCGGAACCUCCGGCGCCCGGAACUUCUGGCCUGUCCCGGAACUUCCGGCCCUGCCUGCAUGCAGCCACUUGGGCCGAGGCCCGUGUACCCUUUCGCCCCGUAGACUAUAUAUACUCUUCUCCUACAUACGUUCUAGGGUUAGCAUUGUGAUAGCUCAUUUGAGAUAGAGCAUUGCUCAUCCGUAACGGAUCUACUCCUCGUGAGGGACCGCACCUCCUCGGAGAAGAUCCAUCCGGAUUCAAGACCUCCAUCCGGAGAAGACAAUCAAUACCUCCUCACGGAGAUUAACGGUUACUCUUGUAUCGUCCCUUGUUGAUUUUUAAUCUUGUGUUACUUGUGCCUCGAUGAUCUACCACUUGUGUGAUCAAUUUCAUGUCGGUUGAGUGUUUCUCUGUGUUUCCCCUCGUGAUUUCCCCCGUGUUCUUCCAUGCGUUCUUCGUGUUCCCCAUAGGAUCCUCUCCAAACGUGAAAGAUCGGCCACCUAGGGUUCUACCCUACAUCAAGGGCCGACUGGGUUUCGAGGCCCUCCCAUUGGUGCUCGUCGUGGGUGUUUAUGGAGUCCUCCAAGACACGCCUCAUGAGCUCGGCCUCUUCCUCCUUGGUCAUGGGAGGUGGCGGUGGCGGGGACGGGGACGGAGAUGACGUCGACCUGAAGCCGCACACACGCCUAAGCCCGCACGUUUGGGGCGGGAUCUCAACACGAGCAGGACGCGGGCGGGACGGGCUCGAAGGACGAUUGGCAAAAAAGGAUUGCCGUUGCAGGUAAUGCUCGUCGCGGGGCCACGUAUCCCACAACAGCGAAUCAAUGGCAUACCCGCGGUCGUAGAGCAGAUCGGGUGCCCAGCGGGCGCGGUGUCGGUCGAUCUCCUCACGGUGGGCGCGUCCGCUCACUGGCACUGGUGGGAUUAGAACAUGAUCCGCAGAGAGAUGCCAAUUGUUGGGGAGGUGGACAUCUCCCCACGGGAGUGGAGUCACCAUCUCCCAGUAGCGCUGGCAGAUGUCGGCGAAGACAUACGACCUAUUGCGCUACAAGGCUGGCGACAGCGCGAUGUCAAAUGCGGACGGAGCAGGUGGUGCAGGCGGUGCGGCCUUGGUGGAGGGGCGGUGAUCGGAGGAGGAGCCGACCUCAUGGUCGUGCUUCCCCUUGCUGAUGCAAUGCCAUCCCAUGGCGCCGGCGAGGAGAUGGGUGAGAGGGAUGCGUCGGCAGCGGCUAGGGUUUGCUCGCUCUUAUCGGGGGUCGAGGAGGCAGAUUGUCUCGGAAGUCGAAGCGAUGGACUGGCUGGUCCACAGCUUCCACAUUAAGAAGGAUGGCGACCUAGCAGUUGGGUGACUAACAGCCGGGCCCACCGUGCUUGCGCAAUUAUUUUAGGUGGUGGACGUAGGUGAAUGGCGGCCACGCGUCUCGGAGCCACACGAGAAGCAAGCACGUGCUCCUCCGUUUGCGAUGAAAAUGGAACGGGCCAAACGCCAAAGAACAAAAAUACGGAUGCGGUCGCGUGUUGAAUCGUGCCAUCUAUCCGUUUGGACUCAAACGGACAAACACGAACCAAAUGGGAUCGUGCAUUUGAGUUGCCCUAAGCCCGUCGAGCCUCAACCAUGUGCAUCACUAUCCCAGCUGUUCGUGUCGAUCGUGUCGACAGUGAACAGUCCCUAAACAUAUCACACACAUCAUGUAUUCAUGUGAUCAUGCCACACUCUUAAAUGCCGUGGUGCGUUUUUCCCUUUGCACACUGGUGUUGAUGCUUGGCCAAUGCAUGUCACACACUAAUUGCAUGGCUUAGUUAAGUGCGGAUGUGGUGCCACUUUUUCUUCGGUCCAUUUCCAUGUCCAUAAGAAAAUUGACUUAGAGCAACUCCAGCAGACCCCGUAAAAUUCCGGCGAGUAUAUGGGCUCGGCCCAAUUUUCAGGCUAGAAUAGAGCCCGUAUACUCACCCGACCCGUAAAAUCUUUUACUGCGGCCCGCAAACCGCCCACCCAAGCAGUAUAUCUACAUUUUGCGGUGUAUUUGCGGGUCGAAAUCCUACCCCCUCCCCCCCGCCGCCGCGUCUCUCCGCAAUUCCCCACUCCCCUCCUCACAUUUCUCGCCGCCGGUGAGCCCCUUCAGCCUCUAGCCGCCAUGUGGGUGUUGGGGAACGUAGCAGAAAUUCAAAAUUUUCCUACGAGUCACCAACAUCUAUCUAUGGAGAAACAAGCAACGAGAGAGAGGGGAGUGCAUCUACAUACCCUUGUAGAUCCCUAAGAGGAAGCGUUCAAGAGAACGGGGUUGAAGGAGUCGUACUCGUCGUGAUCCAAAUCACCGGAGAUCCUAGUGCCGAACGGACGACACCUCCGGGUUCAACACAUGUGCAGCCCGGUGACAUCUCCCACGCCUUGAUCCAGCAAGGAGAGAGAGGGAGAGGUUGGGGAAGACUCCGUCCAGCAGCGGCACAACGGCGUGGUGGUGAUGGAGGAGCGUGGCAAUCCUGCAGAGCUUCGCCAAGCAUCGCGAGAGAGGAGGAGGGAUGCGCCAGAACUUGGGUGCGGCUGCCCUCCCACCCCCACAUAUAUAGGGGCAAGGGAGAGGGGGGACAGCCCCCUCAGAUCCAAUCUGAGGAGGGGGCGGCGGCCAGGGGGUUGCCUUGCCCCCUAAGGCAAGGGGGCGCCCCCCCUUUAGGGUUUCCCCAAACCCUAGGCGCAUGGGCCCUAAGGGGGGAGGCGCCCAGCCCACUAAGGGGCUGGUCCCUUUCUACAAACAUCCCAUAGGGCCCUCCGGGGCAGGUGUACCCUCCCGGUGGACCCCCGGAACCCCUUCGGUGGUCCCGGUACAAUACCGGUAACCCCCCAAAUUAUUCCGGUGACCGUAUGAUGACUUCCCAUAUAUAAAUCUUUACCUACGGACCAUUUCGGAACUCCUCGCGAUGUCCAGGAUCUCAUCCGGGACUCCGAACAACAUUCGGUAACCACGUAUAUCUAUUCCCUAUAACCCUAGCGUCAUCGAACCUUAAGUGUGUAGACCCUAUGGGUUCGGGAACCAUGCAGACAUGACCGAGACGUUCUCCGGUCAAUAACCAACAACGGGAUCUGGAUACCCAUGUUGGCUCCCACAUAUUCCAGAUGAUCUCAUCGAAUGAACCACGAUGUCAAGGACUCAAUCAAUCCCGUAUACAAUUCCCUUUGUCUAGCGGUAUCGUACUUGCCCGAGAUUCGAUCGUCGGUAUGCCGAUACCUUGUUCAAUCUCGUUACCGGCAAGUCUCUUUACUCGUUCCGUAACACAUCAUCCCGUGAUCAACCCCUUGGUCACAUUGUGCACAUCAUGAUGAUGUCCUACCGAGUGGGCCUAGAGAUACCUCUCCGUCAACCAGAGUGACAAAUCCCAGUCUUGAUUCGUGCCAACCCAACAGACACUUUCGGAGAUACCCGUAGUGCACCUUUAUAGCCACCUAGUUACGUUGUGAUAUUUGGUACACCCAAAGCAUUCCUACGGCAUCCGGGAGUUGCACAAUCUCAUUGUCUAAGGAAAUGAUACUUGACAUUAGAAAAGCUUUAGCACACGAACUACACGAUCUUUGUGCUAGGCUUAGGAUUGGGUCUUGUCCAUCACAUCAUUCUCCUAAUGAUGUGAUCCCAUUAUCAACGACAUCCAAUGUCCAUGGUCAGGAAACCGUAACCAUCAAUUGAUCAACGAGCUAGUCAAUUAGAGGCUUACUAGGGACAUGGUGUUGUCUAUGUACCCACACAUGUAUCUGAGUUUCCUAUCAAUACAAUUAUAGCAUGGAUAAUAAAUGAUUAUCAUGAACAAGGAAAUAUAAUAAUAAUAACUAAUUUAUUAUUGCCUCUAGGGCAUAUUUCCAACAGUCUCCCACUUGCACUAGAGUCAAUAAUAUAGUUCAUAUCGCCAUGUGAUUAACAUUGACAGGUCACAUCGCCAUGUGACCAACAUCCAAAGAGUUUACUAGUGUCACUAAACUAGUUCACAUCACCAUGUGAUUAAGACUCAAUGAGUUCUGGGGUUUGAUCUUGUUUUGCUUGUGAGAGAGGUUUUAGUCAACGGGUCUGCAACAUUCAGAUCCGUAUGUAUUUCGCAAUUCUCUAUUUCAUAUUGUAAAUGCUGCUUCCAUGCUCCACUUGGAGCCAUUCCAAAUGGUUGUUCCACUAUACGUAUCCGGUUUGCUACUCAGAGUCAUUCGGAUAGGUCUUAAAGCUUGCAUCGACGUAACCCUUUACGCUGAACUCUUUAUCACCUCCAUAAUCGAGAAACAUGUCCUUAUUUACUCCAAGGACAAUUUUGACCGCUGUCCAAUGAUCCCUUCCUGGAUCAUUCUUGUACCCCUUGACUGACUCAUGCCAAGGCACACUUCCGGUGCGGUACACAACAUAACAUACUAUAGAGCCUACGUCUAAAGCAUAGGGGACGACCUUCGUCCUUUCUCUCUCUUCUGCCGUGGUCGAGCUUUAACUCUUAACUUCAUACCUUACAACUCAGGCAAGAACUCCUUCUUUGAUUGAUCUAUCUUGAACACCUUCAAGAUCAUGUCAAGGUAUGUGCUCAUUUGAAAGUACCAUUUAGCGGUUUUGAUCUAUCCCCAUAGAUCUUGAUGCUUAAUGUUCAAGCAGCUUAAUCCAGGCUUUCUAUUGAAAAACACUUUUCAAAUAACCCUAUAUGCUUUCCAGAAAUUCUACAUCAUUUCUGAUCAACAAUAUGUCGACAACAUAUACUCAUCAAAAAUGCUAUAGUGCUCCCACUCACUUCUUUGGAAAUACAAGUUUCUCAUAAACUUUGUAUAAACCCAAAAUCUUUGAUCAUCUUGUCAAAGCGUACAUUCCAACUCCGAGAUGCUUACUCCAGUCCUUAGAAGGAUUGCUGGAGCUUUGCAUGCUUGUUAGCAUCUUUCAGGAUUGACAAAAUCUUCUGGUUGUAUCACAUCCAACCUUUCCUCAAGAAAACUGUCGAGGAAACAAUGUUUUGACAUCCUAUCUACAAGAUUUCAUAAAUAAUGCAGUAACUGCUAAUCCAAUUCCGACAGACUCUUAGCAUCGCUACGAGUGAGAAAGUCUCAUCGUAGUCAACUCCUUGAACUUGUCGGAAAACAUCUUAAUGACAAGUCGAGCUUUCUUAAUGGUGAUACUUACCAUCAUUGUCUGUCUUCCUUUUAAAAUCCAUCUGUACCCAACGACCUUACGACCAUCAAGUAUUUCUUCCAAAGUCAUGGAUCCUUUCUCGGAUUUUAUGGCCUCGAGCCAUUCAUCAGAAUUCGGGCCCACCAUCGCUUCUCCAUAGCUCGUAGGUUCAUUGUUGUCUAGCAACAUGACCUCUAAGACAGGAUUGCAUACCACUCUGAAGUAGUACGCGUCCUUGUCGACCUACGAGGUUCGGUAGUGACUUGAUCCGAAGCAUCAUGAUCACUAUCAUCAGCUUCCACUUCAAUUGGCGUAGGUGCCACAUGAACAACUUCCUGUGCCCUACUACACACUGGUUGAAGUGAUGGUUCUAUAACCUCAUCAAGUCUCCACCAUCCUCCCACUCAAUUCUUUCGAGAGAAACCUUUCCUCGAGAAAAGACCCGAUUCAAGAAACAAUCCCUAUUGCUUUCGGAUCUGAAUCAGGAGGUAUACCCAACUGUUUUGGAUGUCCUAUGAAGAUGCAUUUUGUCCGCUUUGGGUUCGAGCUUAUCAACCUGAAACUUUUUCACAUAAGCGUCGCAGCCCCAAACUUUUAAGAAACGACAACUUAGGUUUCUCCAAACCAUAGUUCAAACGGUGUCGUCUCAACGGAAUUACGUGGUGCCCUAUUAAAGUGAGUGCGAUUGUCUCUAAUGCCUAACCCGUGAACGAUAGUGGUAAUUCGAUAAGAGACAUCAUGGUAUGCACCAUAUCCAAUAGGGUGCAACUAUGAUGUUCGGAUACACCAUCACACUAUGGUGUUCCAGGCGGUAUUAAUUGUGAAACAAUUUCCACAAUGUCUUAAUUGCGUGCCAAAGCUCGUAACUCAGAUACUCAUCUCUAUGAUCAUAUCAUAGACAUUUUAUCCUCUUGUCACAAUGAUCUUCAACUUCACUCUGAAAUUACUUGAACCAUUCAAUAAUUCAGACUUGUGUUUCAUCAAGUAAAUAUACUCAACAUCUACUUGAAUCAUCUGUGAAGUAAGAACAUAACGAUAUUCACUGCAUGCCUCAGUACUCAUUGGACUGCACACAUCAAAAUGUGUUACUUCUAACAAGUUGCUAUCUUGUUCCAUCUUACUGAAAACGAGGCUUUUCAGUCAUGUUGCCCAUGUGGUAUGAUUUGCAUAUCUCAAGUGAUUCAAAAUCAAGUGAGUCCAAACGAUCCAUCUACAUGGAGUUUCUUCAUGCGUAUACACCAAUAAACAUGGUUCGCAUGUCUCAAACUUUUCAAAAACGAGUGAGUCCAAAGAUCCAUCAAUAUGGAGCUUCUUCAUGCGUUUUACACCAAUAUGACUUACAUGGCAGUGCCACAAGUAAGUGGUACUAUCUGAUAUCUUUUGGCAUGAAAAUGUGUAUCACUAUGAUCGAGAUUUAAUAAACCAUUCAUUCUAGGUGCAAGACCAUUGAAGGUAUUAUUCAAAUAAACAGAGUAACCAUUGUUCUCCUUAAAUGAAUAACCGUAUUGCGAUAGACAUAAUCCAAUCAUGUCUAUGCUCAACACAAACACCAAAUAACAAUUAUUUAGGUUUAACACCAGUCUCGAUGGUAGAGGGAGCGUGCGAUGCUUGAUCAUAUCAACCUUGGAAACAAUCCCAACACAUAUCGUCAGCUCACCUUUAUCUAGUCUACUUUUAUUCCGUAGCUUUUAUUUCGAGUUACUAACACUUAGCAACCGAACCGGCAUCUAAUACCCUGGUGCUACUAGGAGUACUAGUAAAGUACACAUUAACAUAAUGUAUAUCCAAUAUACUUCCGUCGACCUUGCCUGCCUUCUUAUCUACCAAGUAUCUAGGGUGGUUCUGCUUUAGUGUCCGUUCCUCUCAUUACAGAAGCACUUAGUCUCGGGUUUGGGUUCAACCUUGGGUUUUCACUAGAGCAUCAAUUGUUUUGCCGUUUCAUGAAGUAUCCCUUCUUGCCCUUGCUCUUCUUGAAACUAGUGGUUUUACUAACCAUCAACAAUUGAUGCUCCUACUUGACUUCUACUUUUGCGGUGUCAAACAUCGUGAAUACUUCAAGGAUCAUCAUAUCUAUCCCUGAUAUGUUAUAGUUCAUCACGAAGCUCUAGAAGCUUGGUGGCAAUGACUUUGGAGAAACAUCACUAUCUCAUCUGGAAGAUCAACUCCCACUCGAUUCAAGUGAUUGUUGUACUCAGACAAUCUGAGCACAACCUCAACGAUUGAGCUUUUUCUCCCUUAGUUUACAGGCUAAGAAAAUCGUCGGAGGUCUUAUACCUCUUGACGUGGGCACGAGCCUGAAAUCCCAAUUUCAGCCCUCGAAACAUCUCAUAUGUUCCGCGACGUUUCAAAAACCUCUUUGGUGCCUCUACUCUAAACCAUUUAACUGAACUAUCACGUAGUUAUCAAAACGUGUAUGUCAGAUGUUCGCAACAUCCACAGACUACGUUCGAGGUCCAGCACACCUAGCGGUGCAUUAAGGACAUAAGCCUUCUAUGAAGCAACGAGGACAAUCCUUAGUUCACGGACCCAGUCUGCAUAAUUGCUACUAUCAACUUUCAACUAUAUUUUUCUCUAGGAACGUAUCUAAAAUAGUAGAACUAAAGCGUGAGUUAUGACAUAAUUUGCAAAGAUCUUUUUGACUACGUUCAGGAUAAUUAAAUUCAUCUUAUGAACUCCUACUCAGAUAGACAUCCCUCUAGCCAUCUAAGUGAUUACACGAUCCGAGUCAACUAGGCCGUGUCCGAUCAUCACGUGAGACGGACUAGUCAUCAUCGGUGAACAUCUUCAUGUUGAUCGUAUCUACUAUACGACUCAUGCUCGACCUUUCGGUCUCUUGUGUUCCAAGGCCAUGUCUGUACAUGCUAGGCUCGUCAAGUCAACCUAAGUGUUUUGCGUGUGUAAAUCUGGCUUACACCCAUUGUAUGUGAAUGUUAGAAUCUAUCACACUCGAUCAUCACGUGGUGCUUCGAAACAACGAACUUUCGCAACGGUGCACAGUUAGGGGGAACACUUUCUUGAAAUUUUAAUGAGGGAUCAUCUUAUUUACUACCGUUGUUCUAAGCAAAUAAGAUGCAUAAACAUGAUAAACAUCACAUGCAAUCAAAAAGUGACAUGAUAUGGCCAAUAUCAUUUUGCUCCUUUUAAUCUCCAUCUUCGGGGCUCCAUGAUCAUCAUUGUCACUGGCAUGACACCAUGAUCUCCAUCAUCAUGAUGUCCAUCAUCGUGUCUCCAUGAAGUUGUCUCGCCAAUUUAUUACUUCUACUACUAUGGCUACCAGUUAGCAAUAAAGUAAAGUAAUUACAUGGCGUUGUUCAAUGACAUGCAGGUCAUACAAUAAAUAAAGACAACUCCUAUGGAUCCUGCCGGUUGUCAUACUCAUUGACAUGCAAGUCGUGAUUCCUAUUACAAGAACAUGAUCAAUCUCAUACAUCACAUAUCAUUCAUCACAUUCUUCUUGGCCAUAUCACAUCACAUAGCAUACCCUGCAAAAACAAGUUAGACGUCCUCUAAUUGUUGUUUGCAUGUUUUACUUGGCUGCUAUGGUUUUCUAGCAAGAACGUUUCUUACCUACGCAAAAGCCACAACGUGAUAUGUCAAUUGCUAUUUACCCUUCAUAAGGACCCUUUUCAUCGAAUCCGAUCCGACUAAAGUGGGAGAGACUGGCACCCGCUAGCCACCUUAUGCAACAAGUGCAUGUUUAUCGGUGGAACCUGUCUCACGUAAGAGUACGUGUAAGGUCGGUCCGGGCUGCUUCAUCCCACAAUGCCGCCGAAUCACGAUAAGACUAGUAACGGUAAGCAAAUUGAACAAAUCAUCGCCCACAACUACUUUGUGUUCUACUCGUGCAUAGAAACUACGCAAUAGACCUAGCUCAUGAUGCCACUGUUGGGGAACGUAGCAGAAAUUCAAAAUUUUCCUACGAGUCACCAAGAUCUAUCUAUGGAGAAACUAGCAAUGAGAGAGAGGGGAGUGCAUCUACAUACCCUUGUAGAUCGCUAAGCGGAAGCAUUCAAGAGAACGGGGUUGAAGGAGUCGUACUCUUCGUGAUCCAAAUCACCGGAGAUCCUAGUGCCGAACAGACGACACCUCCGCGUUCAACACACGUGCAGCCCGGUGACGUCUCCCACGCCUUGAUCCAGCAAGGAGAGAGGGAGAGGUUGGGGAAGACUCCGUCCAGCAGCAGCACAAUGGCAUGGUGGUGAUGGAGGAGCGUGGCAAUCCUGCAGAGUUUCGCCAAGCACCGCGGGAGAGGAGGUGGACUUGGGAGAGGGGGAGGGCUGCGCCAGAACUUGGGUGCGGCUGCCCUCCCACCCCCACAUAUAUAUAGGGGCAAGGGAGAGGGGGGCCGGCCCCCUCAGAUCCAAUCUGAGGAGGGGCGGCGGCCAGGGGGGUUGCCUUGCCCCCCAAGGCAAGGGGGCGCCCCCCCUUUAGGGUUUCCCCAAACCCUAGGCGCAUGGGCCCUAAGGGGGGAGGCGCCCAGCCCACUAAGGGGCUGGUCCCUCUCCACAAACAGCCCAUAGGGCCCUCCGGGGCAGGUGGACCCUCCCGGUGGACCCCCAGAACCCCUUCGGUGGUCCCGGUACAAUACCGGUAACCCCCCGAAUUAUUCCGGUGACCGUAUGAUGACUUCCCAUAUAUAAAUCUUUACCUCGGGACCAUUUCGGAACUCCUCGCGACGUUUGGGAUCUCAUUCGGGACUCCAAACAACAUUCGGUAACCACGUAUAUCUAUUCCUAUAACCCUAGCAUCAUCGAACCUUAAGUGUGUAGACCCUACAGGUUCGGGAACCAUGCAGACAUGACCGAGAUGUUCUCUGGUCAAUAACCAACAACGGGAUAUGGAUACCCAUGUUGGCUCCCACAUGUUCCACGAUGAUCUAAUCGGAUGAACCACGAUGUCAAGGACUCAAUCAAUCCCGUAUACAAUUCCCUUUGCCUACCGGUAUAGUACUUGCCCGAGAUUCGAUCGUCGGUAUCCCGAUACCUUGUUCAAUCUCGUUACCGGCAAGUCUCUUUACUCGUUCCGUAACACAUCAUCCCGUGAUCAAACCCUUGGUCACAUUGUGCACAUCAUGAUGAUGUCCUACCGAGUGGGCCCAGAGAUACCUCUCCAUCAACCGGAGUGACAAAUCCCAGUCUCGAUUCGUGCCAACCCAACAGACACUUUCGGAGAUACCCGUAGUGCACCUUUAUAGCCACCCAGCUACGUUGUGACUUUUGGUACACCCAAAGCAUUCGUACGGCAUCCGGGAGUUGCACAAUCUCAUGGUCUUAGGAAAUGAUACUUGACAUUAGAAAAGCUUUAGCACACGAACUACACGAUCUUUGUGCUAGGCUUAGGAUUGGGUCUUGUCCAUCACAUCAUUCUCCUAAUGAUGUGAUCCCGUUAUCAACGACAUCCAAUGUCCAUGGUCUGGACACCGUAACCAUCUAUUGAUCAAUGAGCUAGUCAAUUAGAGGCUUACUAGGGACAUGGUGUUGUCUAUGUACCCACACAUGUAUGUGAGUUUCCUAUCAAUACAAUUAUAGCAUGGAUAAUAAACGAUUAUCAUGAACAAGGAAAUAUAAUAAUAAUAACUAAUUUAUUAUUGCCUCUAGGGCAUAUUUCCAACAGUGGGGCUGCAUGUCGAGCUCCGGCCGCGGCUCCCUGAGCAGCUCUCGCGAGGGCGGAGACCCCGAACAUGAGUGGCGUGUCCGCUCGAACGGCGCGAGGAAGCGUGGGGCGAGGAAGUGGACGAACAUGGGACUCUCACCGCCACCGAGCUUUCUUGUCCGCGAGACGGAGGAAUACGACCGCCAGCAUGGGUGUACGCCCUCCUCGGCCGCGGGCUCGUCCUCCGCCGCGAGAUCUGCCCACGCCGCGAGAUCUUCCUCUUCCGGCAUGAGGCUUCUCCCCGUGAAGGGGAGUGGUCGAAGGAUCCGGAGGAGAUCGAGGUCGUCGCCGUCAAGCAGGAGCCGGAGGAGAUCGAGCGCCGAGGUGUCAUCGGGCCCGAAGAUUUCGUGGUCGACUUCGACGCGGUCGCGGCCGCCAUUGCCGAGUGGAGCUGGCGCGAGGAGGCAGAGCGCCGGCGCCACGACGACGAGGUCGACAACCUCAUCCUCCAGCAGGCGGUCGCGGCCAACCUUGCCGCGAAGGAGAAGGACGACGAGUGGCGGCGCAUCCGCGAGGAGCAGAGGUCGAAGUUUAUUGAUCUCGUCAGCUCCGACGAGGACUGAGCUCCUCCACCACGUCAUCCUCGGCCGCAAGCUCGUCCAUUUUGGUAUAUCGACCUCGGCCUCGCCGCCACGAGAUUCCCCACCCCCCUCUAGUAGUAGUGGUAGAAUGUAGUAUGUAUGAUCAUGUAGUAUGUGAUGAACUAGUGUAUGAUCAUGUAGUAUGAGAUGAACUAGUGUGGUUGCAAUUUCUCCCACGAAACUUUUUUUAAAUUAUGCAGUUUCAUAUACGGUUUCUGUUCAACCGCGCACAUCUUCGACCCGCAAACGAGAUCUUCGUGAAACCGCAAACGCGUUUUGCGGGCAGGGAUUUUGCGGGGUCUGCUAGAGAUGCUCUUAGGAGCCAAUUCUCGUCGCCUUUUGUAUACUCUAUGUUAGAAAUUAUGGGCUAUGCACUUUACCCUCUAAUUCCUCUGCCUUUUCUGUUGUGCCAGUCUGAAAGCACAAGUGCUCCGUAUGUGGUUUUGGUAAUUAAUGUCAACAUAUCUCUUGUUGGACUAACACUUUUAUCUAGCAUAUUUCAGAAAAGUUCAACUAUGGAGUGGCAUGGACUAAAGGAUGUGGAACCCCUUCAAAAUGCUAAGGACAAAGGAUUGGCUCAAGCUUCAAGAUCAAGACUCUGCAUUUUAUGUUUUAGUGAUCCAAGAUCACAUUGAGUCUAUAGGAAAAGCCAAUACUAUCAAGAGGGGAUGAGGUGUUGCUUAAUGAGUUUCUUGCUCCACAGUGCUUAGUGAUAUGCUCCAAAACCCUCAACUACUUUCCCACAUCCACACAUAUGACCUAAACCUAAAGUCUAACUCGGCCCCACUGAUUCUUUCUAUCCGGCGCCAUCGAGUUUAGAUGUCAUAGCCACUGCCACAAACCCUAGGCAAAUCGGUCUCACCGAUAGGGAUCUCGGUAUCACCGAGAUGGGAUUGUAAUCUCUCUGUGUAUGUCCAUUACCAAAAUCGGUCUCAUCGAGUUUGAGCAAUCGGUACUACCAAGAUUACAAUGCAAACUCUCUGGUUAACUUAUUACCAAAAUCGGUCCCACCGAGUUUGAGUAAUCGGUCCCACCGAGUUUGCCUGACCAACUCUCUGGUUAGCUAAUUACCAAAAUCGGUCUCACCGAGUUUGUGUAAUCAGUCUCACCGAGAUUACGUUAUGCCCUAACCCUAACCAUAUCGGUCCCGCCGAGUUGCAUUUCGGUCCCACCGAAAAUCCUAACGGUCACUAGGUUUACUGAAUCGAUCCGACCGAGUUUCUUGAUUCGCUCCCACCGAGAUUGGUAAAUUGUGUGUAACGGUUAGAUUCUGUGUGGAGGCUAUAUAUGCCCCUCCACCUCCUCUUCAUUCCUGGAGAGAGCCAUCAGAACAAGCCUACACUUCCAGCAUCCUAUUUCUGACAGAGAACUACCUACUCAUGUGUUGAGGCCAAGAUAUUCCAUUCCUACCAUAUGAAUCUUGAUCUCUAGCCUUCCCCAAGUUGCUUUCCACUCAAAUCUUCUUUCCACCAGAUCCAAAUCCUAUGAGAGAGAGUUGAGUGUUGGGGAUACUAUCAUUUGAAGCACAAGAGCAAGGAGUUCAUCAUCAAUGCACCAUUUGUUACUUCUUGGAGAGUGGUGUCUCCUAGAUUGGCUAGGUGUCACUUGGGAUCCUCCGACAAGAUUAUGGAGUUGAACCAAGGAGUUUGUAAGGGCAAGGAGAUUGCCUACUUUGUGAAGAUCUACCGCUAGUGAGGCAAGUCCUUCGUGGGCGACGGCCAUGGUGGGAUAGACAAGGUUGCUUCUUCGUGGACCCUUCUUGGGUGGAGCCCUCCGUGGACUCGCGCAACCGUUACCCUUCAUGGGUUGAAGUCUCCAUCAACGUGGAUGUACGAUAGCACCACCUAUCGGAACCACGACAAAAACAUCUGUGUCUCCAAUUGCGUUUGAAUCCUCCAAACCCUUCCUUUUACAUUCUUGCAAGUUGCAUGCUUUACUUUCCGCUGCUCAUAUACUCUUUGCAUGCUUGCUUGUUAUGUAUUGUGAAUGUUAACCUUGUGCCUAAACUCCACUUAAACCUAAAGAAGUUAAAAACUGCAACUUUGGUACUUAGUGUCUAAUCACCCCCCUCUAGACACCUCUUCUCGAUCCCUUUCAAUUGGUAUCAGAGCAUUGGUCUCCAUUGCUUUGGUUUAAACACCAUUGGAGGAAGAUGGAUGAGUCUACUUUGGGGAGUCUUAGACAUAGAGUGGCUAUUCUUGAUGGAGAGUAUUUUCAUGAGUGGAAAAAUGAGAUGCUUGUGAUUUUCAAUCAAUAUCAUUUGAACAAGUACAUUGCUAGGCCUUGUGCACCUCAUGUUGAUCCUAUGCAUCCUACCCUUGAUGAGUUAAUUGACAUGAUUAGGAAUCUUAGAACUGUUAAUCUUAUCACUAGAGGCUUGCCUAGAAACUUGAUUAGAAACUUGCCUACUCUUGAGUGUGCCUAAACUAUAUGGAAAUUUCUUGAGGAACGCUUUCCCAAUUAUUCCUUGAAAAAUCUAGAUGAAAUUCUCCAUAAGUCUAUUGCCUUGAGUAAGAUGAAUACUAGUGAUCCUAUGUUUGGUGAUCGUCUAUUUGAGCUUACAAACCUUAUGUGUGCCAAAGGAGAUGUUGGAAUUAUUGGUGAUAUUAUUUCCGAAGCUAUAAAAAUUCAUAAGCAAGAUCAUUUUCAAACUCACUCUAACGAAUUACCCUCUCUAGGAUUUGAUCCACCACAUAACGAUGUUGAACAUGGAUACUAUGAUGAGGAUGAUGAUAGUGACUUUGAUCUUGAUGAUGCAAUGAGACAUUUUGGUCUUAUGGCAAAUCUUCGGGGAUAUAUGGCAGGAGGAAAGGAAUGGGUUCUUGAUAGUGGAUGUACCGAUCACAUGACUGGAGAUAAAGACAUGUUUCGUGAGCUUGCUGAAAACAAUGGUCCUCGAAAGUUUGUCACUUUUGGUAAGGUGGUUGGCCUCGAUAAGGUGGCCAUCUCACAUGAUAGUUCUAUUCAAAAUGUUAUGCUCGUUGAAUCUCUUGGCUACAACUUACUUUCAGUAUCUAGACUUGCUGAUUUCGGUUUCAAUGUCCUAUUUACUGAAGUAGAUUGCCAAGUGUUUCAAAGAGAUAAUCAUAAAAUGGUCUUUGCCGGUAUACGUAGAGGUGAUCUUUACAUUGUUGACUUGACUAAAAAGGCUCAACCUAGAACUUGCUUUAUUGCUAAAUCUUCUAAAGGUUGGUUAUGGCAUAGACGGUUAGGACAUGUUGGUAUGCGAAACCUUGACAAGAUUAUUAAAGAAAAUCAUAUCCUUGGUGUUAACGAUGUCAUAUUUGAUAAGGAUAGACUUUGCAGUGCUUGUCAAGCAGGUAAACAGGUUGGAGGAAGGCAUCCCGUGAAGAACAUCAUGACCAUGAGGAGGCCACUCGAGCUACUUCACAUGGAUCUUUUUGGUCCCAAUGCUUACAAGAGUCUCGGUGGAAAUUCUUUUGGUCUAGUUAUAGUUGAUGAUUUUUCAAGAUUUACGUGGGUGUUCUUUCUCGAUGAUAAAUUGCAGGUCCAAAAGAUCUUCAAAAACUUCGCUAGGAAGGCCCAAAAUCAAUUUGAAGUGAAGAUCAAGAAGGUUCACAGCGACAACGGAACGGAGUUCAAGAACGCAAAUGUGGACACCUUUCUUGACGAAGAAGGGAUUUCACACGAGUUCUCGGCUACGUACACACCUCAACAAAAUGGAGUUGUUGAGAGGAAGAACCGGACGCUCAACGAAAUGGCGAGAAUGAUGCUUGAUGAGUACAAGACGCCGACGCACUUUUGGGCAGAAGCGGUUGAGACAACUUGUCAUGCAACAAAUCGCUUGUAUCUUCACAAGCUGCUCGACAAGACGGCAUAUGAGCUUCUCACCGGAAACAAAGACCCCUCGGAAGUAAUCCAAGACUUGUCUAUUGGAAAGGUUUGUCCAACGGAGGUGAAGGAGAGUACCUCGUCUGUCCAAGUGGAAGCUUCCACCUCACGACAAGGUGAACCAAGAGUUGAUACGGAAGCAUCCACAAGUGGGACACACCAAGAUGAAGAAAACAAGGAAGUGCAUCAAGAUGAACGUCAACAACCUCCUUCUCCACCACGACAAGAGAAUGACAACGCCAACAGUGAAGAAGGCCAAGAAGAAGAACAAGAUGAAGAAUAAGUUCAACCAAGAACCAAGCAAAAGCUUUCAUGAGUUCGAGCAAGAAUUGCUAAAGACCAUCCCGUCGAGCAAAUCUACAAUGAUAUCCAAACCGGGAGAAUCACUCGCUCUAAAACUCGUUUAGCUAACUUUUGUGAAAACUAUUCAUUCAUCUCUAGCAUUGAACCUAUGAAGGUUGAAGAAGCAUUGGAAGAUCCGGAUUGGACAAAUGCUAUGCAUGAAGAGCUACACAACUUUGAGAUAAACCAAGUAUGGACAUUGGUUGAGAAGCCCGACAACAACCACAACAUCAUCGAUACCAAAUGGGUGUUUUGCAACAAGCAAGAUGAAGAUGGACAGGUAGUUCGCAACAAAGCACGUCUCGUUGCCCAAGGCUACACACAAGUCGAAGGUAUGGACUAUGGUGAGACUUAUGCUCCCGUUGCUAGACUUGAGUCCAUUCGCAUCUUACUUGCCUAUGCUAAUCACCAUGAUAUCACCCUGUACCAAAUGGACAUUAAAAGUGCUUUUCUAAAUGGUGAAAUAGAGGAGGAAGUUUAUGUUAAACAACCUCCCGGCUUUAUCAAUCCUAAGAAACCCAAUCAUGUCUAUAAACUUCGCAAAGCUCUUUAUGGUCUUAAACAAGCUCCUAGAGCUUGGUACAAAUGCUUAACUAAGUUUCUUAUUGAAAAAGGAUUUGAAAUUGGGAAAAUUGAUUCUACACUUUUUACUAAAAGGGUUAAUGGAGAAUUAUUUGUAUACCAAAUUUAUGUUGAUGAUAUUAUAUUUGGAUCAACUAACCCUCAUUUUAGUGAAAAGUUUGGGAAGCUAAUGUCGGAGAAGUUUGAGAUGUCUAUGAUGAGUGAACUCAAAUUCUUUCUUGGUUUGCAAAUCAAGCAAACUAAGGAAGGUACCUUUGUCUCUCAAACGAAGUACACUAAGGACUUAUUCAAGAAGUUCAAUAUGCAAGAAUGCAAAGGUAUGUCCACACCCAUGCCUACUAGUGGACAUCUUGAUUUGACCAAAGAUGGUGAACCGGUUGAUCAAAAGGUUUAUCGCUCUAUGAUUGGAUCAUUGUUAUAACUAUGUGCUUCACGUCCCGAUAUUAUGCUAAGUGUGUGCAUGUGUGCAAGAUAUCAAGCUGCUCCGAAAGAAUGUCAUCUUAAAGCCGUGAAAAGGAUAGUGAUAUACUUAAUUCAUACGCCAGAUUUUGGCAUUUGGUAUCCUAAGAGGGCCUCUUUCAAUCUUGUUGGCUACUCCGACUCGGACUAUGCUGGAGACAAUGUUGAUAGAAAGUCCACUUCUGGUACUUGUCAAUUUCUUGGUAGAUCUCUUGUGUCUUGGUCUUCCAAGAAACAAAACUCGGUAUCCUUAUCCACCACCGAAGCGGAAUACAUUGUCGCUGGUUCAUGUUGUGCUCAAUUACUUUGGAUGACCCAAACUCUUAAAGAUUAUGGGAUAUAUGUGAAACAUGUUCCAUUGCUUUGUGACAAUGAAAGUGCUAUCAAAAUUGCUCAUAAUCCCGUGCAACAUUCUCGAACUAAGCAUAUUGAGGUUUGUCAUCAUUUCAUUCGAGAUCAUGUUGCUAAGGGUGACAUUAAUCUUAAGCAUGUUCGCACUGAAAAGCAAUUAGCGGAUAUAUUCACUAAACCUCUUGAUGAGAAAGUGUUUUGCAGGUUGAGAGGAGAACUGAACAUCAUUGAUGCUUCAAACUUGGAGUAGAAACUCCGUCGGAUACAUGCAAGACAUGAGCUUAUGACUAAUCCUUGAUAUUUCUCUUAUGAUGAUAAUCUUAUGUCUUGGACAUAUUUGCAUCUUGCAUGUUAUCUAACCCAUGUAGGUACUUGGUUGAAUCAAAUUCCAUGAGAUUGUAACCUACUCACAUCUUGAGCAAUCUCUACAUCACCAAGUCUCUACACUAUGGUGGUUGAAGACAAGGAAGCACGAAACCAGUCAACCAUAUCCUUUGACAAAUUCUGUGUUAAGCUUCACAAUUGUCAUUUUGGAUACACAAGUGCUCUUCCUUGCAAAAAUUAACCCAUGUAGGUAGAUGAACUCAAAUUCCAAGUGGUGCUCCCAACUCUCGAUGAGUUACAUCAACCUUGAGCAACCCACACAAGUUCAACUACAUGAACAAUCAACACCACUACCCAAGGUAUGUCAUUCCAUCUUAGAAAAGCUUUACUCCAAGACAUGAGUUAAAGCAACUUGACAAGAUGUGAAUACAUCAAGAUGCUUAAUCCAAAAAUGGUAACCCAAUUUUGAGCUUAAACGAUGAGUAUGACCUAUGAUCAAGUGAUCUCACUUGACUCCUAAGUCAAUAUACUCUAACAUAGGUGACUUUGUCGCCGACCAAUUCUAGAUGAAGUUCUUUUGUAUUCUUUUCUGUUCUCUUGCAUUAUCUCAUGCAUAUUUGUUUCCCCUUUCAAAAAAAAACUUCAUCUAGAUUUCUUUCUUUUCUUUUCUGUUUGCUCUGCAUUUCCUGCAUCCAAUUCAUUGCAUAUCUUUUAGUUAAUUCCUUGCAAAUCUUUAUGAGAUCUUACUAGUCUAGUGAGCUGAGGCGACAAGUGUUUUCUCUGCGAUGAACUCGGUCUCACCGAUUUGUUGUUUUCGGUCCAACCGAAUCCUUUCGGUACAACGGAAUCAUACCACUCGGUGCCACCGAUUUCACAACAGGAAAAACAUUUUGCUACUUAUUCUUCUUUAUCUUUUGAUCCAGCUCCACUCAAUGAAUCUUGUCCUCUACAAGCAUCACAUUUUUAUCAGUGCUUUGUGAUGUGACUCAAGGAUCAAACCCAUUCAUGACAAAUUCCAGAAGGCCCUUCUUGGAAAUUGAUGUCAAAGGGGGUGAGAGAGAUCACAUCAAAGCUUAGAGAGAUCACAUCCAAGCUUAUCACUUCCAAAGGGAGAGAGAGUAUCACUUCCAUAGGGGGAGAGAGAGAUCUCCAGGGGGAGAGAAUACUCAAGUAGAAAGUAUUUCUCAAGGAUCCCAGAUGCUUGGUGUUCAAGAGGAGAGAUGCCACAUGUCUUCUUGAGGGGGAAGACAUGUUCAUAUGUGCUUGUUUGCAUUAGCUUUGAUUUUGCUUUUGCUCUGAUUUUCUGUUCCCUAUCUUCUCCCAGUAUCCCAUUCUAGAUUCCUUAAAUUCAUUGCACAUCUUUACCUUUGGGGACAUGUCUAAUCCAAUGUGGUACUUAGUACUCACUCUCUACAUGUCAUCCCAGUCUUGGUAUUCUUGUGGUUUCUUCUGUUUGCUCUGGCUAGUAGGUGUAUCUGUGUUAUCUAACCUUGUUUACGCAGGUUCAUUCCAUCCUAAGCCAACUCAAGACCACAAGGUAAGCAUAUGCAUCAAAAUCAUGUGUAUGAGGAAUUUUUGCUGAUGUACAUACUGUUUGCAAGAAGGACUCAUGAGCACAAAGGUAUUCUUUAAUAUUCUUUGCUCCGAUGCAUAUGGACAAGAUACAUGUAACACAUUGCCUACUCUCUCAUGGUUAUGCUCUCACAUGCUUCUAUAUUUCAUAUUCACAUGAUUGCAUACAUGUAGGGGGAGCCUAUGCUUGUUACAUGUCUUUCCAAAGCUUUACUUGCCAUUCUCUUUAUCUUUGUCUAAAGCUUUGAUGUAUGUUGCCAUCAAUUACCAAAAAGGGGGAGAUUGAAAGCACAAGUGCUCCCUAGGUGGUUUUGGUAAUUAAUGUCAACAUAUCUCUUGUUGGACUAACACUUUUAUCUAGCAUAUUUCAGAAAAGUUCAACUAUGGAAUGGCAUGGACUAAAGGAUGUGGAACCCCUUCAAAAUGCUAAGGACAAAGGAUUGGCUCAAGCUUCAAGAUCAAGACUCUGCAUUUUAUGUUUUAGUGAUCCAAGAUCACAUUGAAUCUAUAGGAAAAGCCAAUACUAUCAAGAGGGGAUGAGGUGUUGCUUAAUGAGUUUCUUGCUCCACAGUGCUUAGUGAUAUGCCCCAAAACCCUCAACUACUUUCCCACAUCCACACAUAUGACCUAAACCUAAAGUCUAACUCGGCCCCACCGAUUCUUUCUAUCCGGCGCCACCGAGUUUAGAUGUCAUAGCCACUGCCACAAACCCUAGGAAAAUCGUUCUCACCGAUGGGGAUCUCGGUCUCACCGAGAUGGGAUUGUAAUCUCUAUGUGUAUGUCCAUUACCAAAAUCGGUCUCACCGAGUUUGAGCAAUCGGUACUACCGAGAUUACAAUGCAAACUCUCUCGUUAACUUAUUACCAAAAUCGGUCCCACCGAGUUUGAGUAAUCGGUCCCACCGAGUUUGCCAGACCAACUCUCUGGUUAGCUAAUUACCAAAAUCGGUCUCACCGAGUUUGUGUAAUCGGUCUCACCGAGAUUACGUUAUGCCCUAACCCUAACCAUAUUAGUCCCACCGAGUUGCAUUUCGGUCCCACCGAAAAUCCUAACGGUCACUAGGUUUACUGAUUGGUCCGACCGAGUUUCUUGAUUCGGUCCCACCGAGAUUGGUAAAUUGUGUGUAACGGUUAGAUUUUGUGUGGAGGCUAUAUAUACCCCUCCACCUCAUCUUCAUUUGUGGAGAGAUGUUGGGGAACAUAGCAGAAAUUCAAAAUUUUCCUAUGAGUCACCAAGAUCUAUCUAUGGAGAGACUAGCAACGAGAGAGAGGAGUGCAUCUACAUACCCUUGUAGAACGCUAAGAGGAAGCAUUCAAGAGAACGGGGUUGAGGGAGUCGUACUCGUCGUGAUCCAAAUCACCGAAGAUCCUAGUGCCGAACGGACGGCACCUCCGUGUUCAACACAUGUGCAGCCCGGCGACGUCUCCCAUGCCUUGAUCCAGCAAGGAGAGAGGGAGAGGUUGGGGAAGACUCCGUGCAGAAGCAGCACAACGGCGUGGUGGUGGUGGAGGAGCGUGGCACUCUAGCAGGGCUUUACGAAGCACUGCGAGAGAUGAGGAGGGAGAGAGGUAGGGCUGCGCAAGGGAGAGGUGGAAACUCAUGUGUUGGGCAGCCCCUAGACCUCAACUAUAUAUAGGGGAGAGGGAGGGGGCUGCGCCCCCUCUAGGGUUCCCACCCCAAGAGGUGCGGCAGCCCCUAGAUCCCAUCUAGGGUGGCGGCCAAUGGGGAAGAGGGGGAGACUUGCCCCCCAAGCAAGGUGGAGGCGCCCCCCUCCCCUAGGGUUUUCAACCCUAGGCGCCUUGGGCCCUGGUGGGGGGCGCACCAGCCCACCUGGGGCUGGUCCCCUCCCACACUUGGCCCAUGCAGCCCUCUGGGGCCAGUGGCCCCACCUGGUGGACCCCCGGGACCCUCCCGGUGGUCCCUGUACGUUACCGAUAGCACUCGAAACUUUCCCAGUGACCGUAUGAUGACUUCCCAUAUAUAAAUCUUUACCUCCGGACCAUUCCGAAACUCCUCGUGACGUCCGAGAUCUCAUCCGGGACUCCGAACAACAUUCGGUAACCACAGAUAAACUUCCUUUAUAACCCUAGCGUCAUCGAACCUUAAGUGUGUAGACCCUACGGGUUCGGGAACCAUGCAGACAUGACCGAGACGUUCUCUGGUCAAUAACCAACAGAGGGAUCUGGAUACCCAUGUUGGCUCCCACAUGUUCCAUGAUGAUCUCAUCGGAUGAACCACGAUGUCAAGGAUUCAGUCAAUCCCGUAUACAAUUCCCUUUGUCUACCGGUAUAGUACUUGCCCGAGAUUCGAUCGUCGGUAUCCCGAUACCUUGUUCAAUCUCGUUACUGACAAGUCUCUUUACUCGUUCCGUAACACAUCAUCCCGUGAUCAACUCCUUGAUCACGUUGUGCACAUUAUGAUGAUGUCCUACCGAGUGGGCCCAGAGAUACCUCUCCGUCACACGGAGUGACAAAUCCCAGUCUCGAUUCGUGCCAACCCAACAGACACUUUUGGAGAUACCCGUAGUGCACCUUUAUAGCCACCCAAUUACGUUGUGAUGUUUGGUACACCCAAAGCAUUCCUACGGUAUCCGGGAGUUGCACAAUCUCAUGGUCUAAGGAAAAGAUUCUUGACAUUUAGAAAAGCUUUAGCAUACGAACUACACGAUCUUGUGCUAGGCUUAGGAUUGGGUCUUAUCCAUCAUAUAAUUCUCCUAAUGAUGUGAUCCCGUUAUCAAUGACAUCCAAUGUCCAUGGUCAGGAAACCAUGACCAUCUGUUGAUCAACGAGCUAGUCAACUAGAGGCUUACUAGGGACAUGGUGUUGUCUAUGUAUCCACACAUGUAUCUGAGUUUCCUAUCAAUACAAUUCUAGCAUGGAUAAUAAAAAAUUAUCAUGAACAAGGAAAUAUAAUAAUAACCAUUUUAUUAUUGCCUCUAGGGAAUAUUUCUAAUAGUCUCCCACUUGUACUAGAGUCAAUAAUCUAGUUCACAUCACCAUGUGAUUGUAAUGAAUCAACACCCAUGGGGUUUGAUCAUAUCUUGCUUGUGAGAGAGGUUAUUAGUCAACGGAUCUGAACCUUUCAGAUCCGUAUGUGCUUUGCAAACCUCUAUGUCAUCUCCUAGAUGCAGCUACCACGCUCUAUUUGGAGUUAUUACAAAUAACCGUUCUACUAUACGAAUCCAGUUUACUACUCAGAAUAAUCCGGAUUAGUGUCAAAGUUUGCAUCUGCGUAACCCUUUACGACGAACUCUUUUACCACCUCCAUAAUCGAGAAAAUUCCUUAGUCCACUAGUUACUAAGGAUAAGUUUGACCGCUGUCCUGGAUCACCCUUGUACCCCUUGACUGACUCAUGGCAAGGCACACUUCCGGUGCGGUACACAUCAUAGCAUACUAUAGAGCCUACGUCUGAAGCAUAGGGGACGACCUUCGUCCUUUCUCUCUCUUCUGCCGUGGUCAUGUCUUGAGUCUUACUCAAUACUCACACCAUAUAACACAGCCAAGAACUCCUUUGCUGAUCUAUUUUGAACUCCUUCAAAAUCUUGUCACGGUAUGUCUUCAUUUGAAAGUACUAUGAAGCGUUUUGAUCUAUCCUUAUAGAUCUUGAUGCUCAAUGUUCAAGUAGCGUAAUCCAGGUUUUCCAUUGAAAAACACUUUUCAAAUAACCCUAUAUGCUUUCUAGAAAUUCUACAUCAUUUCCGAUCAACAAUAUGUCAACAACAUAUACUCAUCAGAAAUGCUAUAGUGCUCCCACUCACUUCUUUGGAAAUACAAGUUUCUCAUAAACCUUGUAUAAACCCAAAAUCUUUGAUCAUCUCAUCAAAGCGUAUAUUCCAACUCCGAGAUGCUUAAUCCAGUCCUUAGAAGGAUUGCUGGAGCUUUGCACACUUGUUAGCAUCUUUCAGGAUUGACAAAACCUUCUGGUUGUAUCACAUACAACCUUUCCUCAAGAAUAUCGUCGAGGAAACAAUGUUUUGACAUCCUAUCUGCAAGAUUUCAUAAAUCAUGCAGUAAUUGCUAAUAUAAUUCCAACAGACUCUUAGCAUCGCUACGAGUGAGAAAGUCUCAUUGUAGUCAACUCCUUGAACUUGUCGGAAAACAUCUUAACGACAAGUCGAGCUAUCUUAAUGGUGAUACUUACCAUCAUUGUCUGUCUUCCUUUUAAAAUCCAUCUGUACCAACAGCCUUACGACCAUCAAGUAUUUCUUCCAAAGUCUACACUUUGUUUUCAUACAUGGAUCCUCUCUCGGAUUUUAUGGCCUCAAGCCAUUUGUCGGAAUCCGGGCCCACCAUCGCUUCUCCAUAGUUCGUAGGUUCAUUGUUGUCUAGCAACAUGACCUCCAAGACAGGAUUACCGUACCACUCCGAAGCAGUACACGUCCUUGUCGACCUAUGAGGUUCGGAAGUGACUUGAUCCGAAGUUUCAUGAUCACUAUCAUCAGCUUCCACUUCAAUUGGUGUAGGUGCCACAGGAACAACUUCCUGUGCCCUGCUACACACUGGUUGAAGUGAUGGUUCAAUAACCUCAUCAAGUCUCCACCAUCCUCCCACUCAAUUCUUUCGAGAGAAACUUUUCCUCGAGAAAGGGCCCAUUUCUAGAAACAAUCACGUUUGCUUCCGGAACUGAGACAGGAGGUAUACCCAACUGUUUUGGGUGUCCUAUGAAGAUGUAAUUAUCCACUUUGGGUUCGAGCUUAGCAGGAUGAAACUUUUUCACAUAAGCGUCGCAGCCCCAAACUUUCAAGAAAGGUCAGCUUAGGUUUCUCUAAACCAUAGUUCACAUGGUGUCAUCUCAAUGGAAUUACGUGGUGCCCUAUUUAAAGUGAAUGCGGUUGUCUCUAAUGCCUAACCCAUGAACGAUAGUGGUAAUUUGAUAAGAGACAUCAUGGUAUGCACCAUAUCCAAUAGGUUGCGGCUAUGAUGUUCGGACACACCAUCACACUAUGGUGUUCCAGGCGGUAUUAGUUGUGAAACAAUUUCCACAAGGUCUUAAUUGUGUACCAAACUCGUAACUCAGAUAUUCAUCUCUAUGAUCAUAUCAUAGACAUUUUAUCCUCUUGUCACGAAGAUCUUCAACUUCACUCUGAAAUUACUUGAACCUUUCGAUAAUUCAGACUUGUGUUUCAUCAAGUAAAUACACUUAGCAUCUACUCAAAUCAUAUGUGAAGUAAGAACAUAACGAUAUCCAUUGCGUGCCUCGGCACUCAUUGGACAGCACACAUCAAAAUGUAUUACUUCCAACAAGUUGCUCUCUUGUUCCAUCUUACUGGAGAACGAGGCUUUCAGUCAUCUUGCCCAUGUGGUAUGAUUUGCAUGUCUCAAGUGAUUCAAAAUCAAGUGAGUCCAAACGAUCCAUCUACAUGGAGUUUCUUCGUGCAUAUAUACCAAUAGACAUGGUUCACAUGUCUCAAACUUUUCAAAAAUGAGUGAGUCCAAAGAUCCAUCAACUUGGAGCUUCUUCAUGCGUUUUAUACCAAUAUGACUCAAAUGGUAGUGCCACAAGCAGGUGGUACUAUCAUUACUAUCUUAUAUCUUUUGGCAUGAACAUGUGUGUCACUACGAUCGAGAUUCAAUAAAUCAUUCAUUUUAGGUGCAAGACCAUUGAAGGUAUUAUUCAAAUAAACAGAGUAACCAUUAUUCUCCUUAGAUGAAUAACCGUAUUGCGAUAGACAUAAUCCAAUCAUGUCUAUGCUCAACGCAAACACCAAAUAACAAUUGUUUAGGUUUAACACCGAUCCCGAUGGUAGAGGGAGCGUGCGAUGUUUGAUCACAUCAACCAUGGAAAUACUUCCAACACAUAUCGUCACCUCGCCUUUAGCUAGUCUCCGUUUAUUCCAUAGCCUUUUAUUUCGAGUUACUAACACUUAGCAACCGAACCGGUAUCUUAAUACCCUGGUGCUACUAGGAGUACUAGUAAAGUACACAUUUAAUACAAUGUAUCUCCAAUAUACUUCUGUCAACCUUGCCAGCCUUCUCAUCUACCAAGUAUCUAGGGUAGUUCUGCUUCAGUGACCGUUCCCUCAUUACAGAAGCACUUAGUCUCGGGUUUGGGUUCAACUCUGGGUUUAUUCACUGGAGCAGUAGCUGAUUUGCCGUUUCAUGAAGUAUCCCUUCUUGCCCUUGCCCUUCUUGAAACUAGUGGUUUUACUAACCAUCAACAAUUGAUGCCCCUUCUUGAUUUCUACUUUCGCGGUGUCAAACAUCGCGAAUAUUUCAAGGAUCAUCAUAUCUAUCCCUGAUAUGUUAUAGUUCAUCACGAAGCUCUAGCAGCUUGGUGGCAAUGACUUUGGAGAAACAUCACUAUCUCAUCUGGAAGAUCAACUCCCACUCGAUUCAAGUGAUUGUUGUACCUAGACAAUCUGAGUACAAGCUCAACGAUUGAGCUUUUCUCCCUUAAUUUGCAGGCUAAGAAAAUCAUCGGAGGUCUUAAACCUCUUGACGUGGGCACGAGCUUGAAAUCCCAAUUUCAGCCCUCGAAACAUCUCAUAUGUUCCGCAACGUUUCGAAAUCGUCGUUGAUGCCUCAAUUCUAAAUCGUUUAACAUUACUAAACUAUCACGUAGUUAUCAAAACGUGUAUGUCAAAUGUUUGCAACAUCCACAGACGACGCUUGAGGUUCAGCACACCGAGCGGUGCAUUAAGGACAUAAGCCUUGUAUGCAGCAAUGAGGACAAUCCUCAGUUUUCGGACCCAGUCCGCAUAAUUGCUACUACCAACUUUCAACUAAAUUUUCUCUUGGAACAUAUCUAAAAAAUUAGAACUAAAGCGCGAGCUACGACAUGAUUUGCAAAAACCUUUUGACUAUGUUCAUGAUAAUUAAGUUCAUCUUAUGAACUCCCACUUAGAUAGACAUCCCUCUAGUCAUCUAAGUGAUUACAUGAUUCGAGUCAACUAGGCCGUGUCCGAUCAUCAUGUGAGACGGACUAGUCAUCAUCGUUGAACAUCUUCAUGUUGAUCGUAUCUACCAUACGACUGAUGCUCGACCUUUCGGUCUCUUGUGUUCUGAGGCCAUGUCUGUACAUGCUAGGCUCGUCAAGUCAACCUAAGUGUUUCGUGUGUGUAAAUCUGGCUUACACCCGUUGUAUGUGAACAUUAGAAUCUAUCACACCCGAUCAUCACGUGGUGCUUCGAAAGAACGAACUUCCGCAACAGUGCACAGUUAGGGGGAACACUUUCUAGAAAUUUUAAUGAGGGAUCAUCUUAUUUACUACCGUCGUUCUAAGCAAAUAAGAUGCAUAAACAUGAUAAACAUCACAUGCAAUCAAAAAGUGACAUGAUAUGGCCAAUAUCAUUUUGCUCCUUUUGAUCUCCAUCUUCGGGGCUCCAUGAUCAUCAUCGUCACCGGCAUGACACCAUGAUCUCCAUCAUCGUGUCUCCAUGAAGUUGUCUCGCCAACUAUUACUUCUAAUACUAUGGCUAACGGUUUAGCAAUAAAGUAAUGUAAUUACAUGGCGUUGUUCAAUGACAUGCAGGUCAUACAAUAAAUAAAGACAACUCCUAUGGCUCCUGCCGGUUGUCAUACUCAUCGACAUGCAAGUCGUGAUUCCUAUUACAAGAACAUGAUCAAUCUCAUACAUCACAUAUCAUUCAUCACAUUCUUUUGGCCAUAUCACAUCACAUAGCAUACCCUACAAAAACAAGUUAGACGUCCUCUAAUUGUUGUUUGCAUGUUUUACGUGGCUGCUAUGGGUCUAUAGCAAGAACGUUUCUUACCUACGCAAAAACCACAACGUGAUAUGUCAAUUGCUAUUUACCCUUCAUAAGGACCCUUUUCAUCGAAUCCGAUCCGACUAAAGUUGGAGAGACUGGCACCCGCUAGCCACCUUAUGCAACAAGUGUAUGUCAGUCGGUGGAACCUGUCUCACGUAAGAGUACGUGUAAGGUCGGUCUGGGCCGCUUCAUCCCACAAUACCGUCAAAACAAGAUUGGACUAGUAACGGUAAGCAUAUUGAACAAAAUCAACGCCCACAACAACUUGUGUUCUACUUGUGCAUAGAAACUACGCAUAGACCUAGCUCAUGAUGCCACUGUUGGGGAACGUAGCAGAAAUUCAAAAUUUUCCUACGAGUCACCAAGAUCUAUCUAUGGAGAGACUAGCAACGAGAGAGAGGAGUGCAUCUACAUACCCUUGUAGAUCGCUAAGCGGAAGCGUUCAAGAGAACGGGGUUGAGGGAGUCAUACUCGUUGUGAUCCAAAUCACCGAAGAUCCUAGUGCCGAACGGACGGCACCUCCGUGUUCAACACACGUGCAGCCCGGUGACAUCUCCCAUGCCUUGAUCCAGCAAGAAGAGAGGGAGAGGUUGGGGAAGACUCCGUCCAGCAGCAGCACAACGGCGUGGUGGUGGUGGAGGAGCGUGGCACUCCAGCUGGGCUUUGCCAAGCACUGCGAGGGACGAGGAGGGAGAGAGGUAGGGCUGCACAAGGGAGAGGUGGAAACUCAUGUGUUGGGCAACCCCUAGACCUCAACUAUAUAUAGGGGAGAGGGAGGGGGCUGCGCCCCCUCUAGGGUUCCCACCCCAAGGGGUGCGGCAACCCCUAGAUCCCAUCUAGGGUGGCGGCCAAAGGGGAAGAGGGGGAGACUUGCCCCCCAAGCAAGGUGGAGGCACCCCCCUCCCCUAGGGUUUUCAACCCUAGGCGCCUUGGGCCCUGGGGGGGGGGGGGGGGGGGCGCACCAGCCCACCUGGGGAUGGUCCCCUCCCACACUUGGCCCAUGCAGCCCUCUGGGGCCAGUGGACCCACCUAGUGGACCCCCGGGACCCUCCCGGUGGUCCCGGUACGCUACCGAUAGCACCCGAAACUUUUCCGAUCACCAAAACAGGACUUCCCAUAUAUAAAUCUUUACCUCCGGACCAUUUCGGAACUCCUCGUGAUGUCCGGGAUCUCAUCCGGGACUCCGAACAACAUUCGGUAACCACAGAUAAACUUCCUUUAUAACCCUAGCGUUAUCGAACCUUAAGUGUUCGGGAACCAUGCAGACAUGACCGAGAUGUUCUCUGGUCAAUAACCAACAGCGGGAUCUGGAUACCCUUGGUGGCUCCCACAUGUUCCACGAUGAUCUCAUCAGAUGAACUACGAUGUCAAGGAUUCAAUCAAUCCCGUAUAUAAUUCCCUUUGUCUACCGGUAUAGUACUUGCCCAAGAUUCGAUCGUCGGUAUCCCGAUACCUUGUUCAAUCUCGUUACCAUCAAGUCUGUUUACUCGUUCCGUAACACAUCAUCCCGUGAUCAACUCCUUGACCACCUUGUGCACAUUAUGAUGAUGUCCUACCGAGUGGGCCCAGAGAUACCUCUCCGUCACACGGAGUGACAAAUCCCAGUAUCGAUUCGUGCCAACCCAACAGACACUUUUGGAGAUACCCGUAGUGCACCUUUAUAGCCACCCAGUUACGUUGUGACGUUUGGUACACCCAAAGCAUUCCUACGGUAUCCGGGAGUUGCACAAUCUCAUGGUCUAAGGAAAAGAUACUUGACAUUUAGAAAAGCUUUAGCAUACGAACUACACGAUCUUGUGCUAGGCUUAGGAUUGGGUCUUGUCCAUCAUAUCAUUCUCCUAAUGAUGUGAUCGUGUUAUCAAUGACAUCCAAUGUCCAUGGUCAGGAAACCAUGACCAUCUGUUGAUCAACGAGCUAGUCAACUAGAGGCUUGCUAGGGACAUGGUGUUGUCUAUGUAUCCACACAUGUACCUGAGUUUCCUAUCAAUACAAUUCUAGCAUGGAUAAUAAACAAUUAUGAUGAACAAGGAAAUAUAAUAAUAACCAUUUUAUUAUUGCCUCUAGGGCAUAUUUCUAACAAGAGAGCCAUCAGAACAAGCCUACACUUCCAGCAUCCUAUUUCUGAGAGAGAACUACCUACUCAUGUGUUGAGGCCAAGAUAUUCCAUUCCUACCAUAUGAAUCUUGAUCUCUAGCCUUCCCCAAGUUGCUUUCCACUCAAAUCUUCUUUCCACCAGAUCCAAAUUCUAUGAGAGAGAGUUGAGUGUUGGGGAGACUAUCAUUUGAAGCACAAGAGCAAGGAGUUCAUCAUCAACACACCAUUUGUUACUUCUUGGAGAGUGGUGUCUCCUAGAUUGGCUAGGUGUCACUUGGGAGGCUCCGACAAGAUUGUGGAGUUGAACCAAGGAGUUUGCAAGGGCAAGGAGAUCGCCUACUUCGUGAAGAUCUAUCGCUAGUGAGGCAAGUCCUUCAUGGGCGACGACCAUGGUGGGAUAGACAAGGUUGCUUCUUCGUGGACCCUUCUUGGGGAGCCCUCCGUGGACUCGUGCAACCGUUACCCUUCGUAGGUUGAAGUCUCCAUCAACAUGGAUGUACGAUAGCACCACCUAUCGGAACCACGACAAAAACAUCCGUGUCUCCAAUUGCGUUUGAAUACUCCAAACCCUUCCUUUUACAUUCUUGCAAGUUGCAUGCUUUACUUUCCGCUGCUCAUAUACUCUUUGCAUGCUUGCUUGUUAUGUAUUGUGAAUGUUAAACUUGUGCCUAAACUCCACUUAAACCUAAAGAAGUUAAAAACUGCAGCUUUGGUACUUAGUGUCUAAUCACCCCCCCCCCUCUAGACACCUUUUCUCGAUCCCUUUCACAGUCACAAUGCAUAUUGAUAUUAGACAGUACAUAUUUACUUAUAGACUCCACUUUUAAGUGUUUUAGUAUUCUACCUAUUUCCGAAAAGAUCCGUAUGACUCCUGAAUAAUAUUACCAAUCAUGAUUAAACAUUUCAGUUUUCCGAGUCUAAAUAUACCAGUCCCUAGCACACAUGUGUGAGGCUUGUGUAGUGAUUAUAUUAUAUAUGUGAGAUCAAUUUCCAAUCUUAAUCAUGUGGGUCAAUAGUCUGCAGGGGUGAUCCUGCAAAACAAACCCAGCUCUUACACCUUGUAUGUCCUGGAAAAAAUAUGUGCGUACAUAUAAAAUUUCAGUAGAGUUGACCCCAAUUAAUUCCUCUACUGUAUUCCAUCACAAUCGUCAUCGACACCUCGAGUAUUACUUUCUCGGUUGAAAUUUCCCAUCACAAACAUUAAUAAUAUGAAUAAUUCUACGUUGAAUUGAAUAAAUGACUACCAUGUUGAAUAAAUGUUGAAAGCCACAUAAAUAUCAAACAUCUCCCACUUGGCUGAAACAUGGUAAUCAAUAUAUGAAGUUCCAUGUGUAAACAUGUUUUGAAAAGAAUUCCUGAAUCUAGUCAGUGAAUCUGCACCACAUUAGUAUUGUUAUACAAAGAAAUCAACAUAUUCACCUGAGUUUAAUCAUUUCAGACCUCAUGUAUACAAUGAUAACUUCCUCAAUGUGUUUACUUUUAACCAUAGGCAUCAGAAUACUGGAAUAGGUGACAGGUUGUGAUGCACAUUGAACGAUUUUAUAUGAUGCGUGAGAUUCCCUUAACCACACCGCUUUACUUCCACUGCUUAAAUGCAAGAAUCAAUUCUGGUAGCUAAGGUUGAUAGCAUAACCAAGAUACAUACAAAUUCCAAUACCAUGUAUUAUACCCUUUUUCCACAGGAGUUCAAAGACAAUUCCUCAUUGUUUAUGAUUCUCCUUAUCAAGGUAUUUUAACUGGUUUGCAAUUUUUCCUAGAAAAAUGUAUCACAACACUCCCUAUGUAUUUCCACCCCCCAAAAAUCAGAAGCUUCAAACAUGCUUGUCAUGUGAAAGUUAGAAAAUGACCAAGCUCACACUUCCAUCAAUGUGACUUCAUCACUGCAAACAACAAGAACAUUGUUAACAUAUAUAAUAAUAAUGCAAAAUUCUUCAUUUGUAGAUGAUGGCCUUGCUUCAUUUUAAAAACCAUAUGACCUGCUAUUCCAUUGAUACAAAGCUUGCUAUAAGACAAUACAUUAAUAUAUUAAAUUAGCGAACCAUGUCUUUAUUUCCUCUUUUUCUAAAUUCCGGAGAAAGAGUUUCUCAGACGUGCUAUUUACGAUAUGAUAAGCAGGCGAUCAAUUAUGCUCCCCUCUCCCGUCAGCUCGAGGAAUCCUCGAGAGACAAGGAACCACCCAAAAAUGGCGCUUCUCCAAGCGAGACGAGAGCAACGAUACAACAUUAAGAAACAAUAAACCACGCCAAUAUUGAAUCAACGUGUCGUAUGCUCGAGAGAAAAUGUCAUCUACAGCCGCAACUUGCAAAUUUUUGGGCCCUGAAACGUCCGCGGAUGCGCCCGGGGAGAGUGACCUAGCGGGCCUCAAAUUUUACCAUUUGCAACCACAUGGCUUAUUUCCAAAACAACUAUUACAUGCAGGGCCAUGCGCAUCGAUCAUCACGUCCAUCUUGGUCCGGUGGGGCUGUCAAAACACACCAAAAAUUGCUCUUACUUAAUUUUCACAUCCGUAUUAGUCCCACCUCGCCGCUUGAUGAGCUAGUCGACCAAUUUAAAUAGCCGAGUUGUCCAGAAAUGUUAACCUUCUGACAUCAUUGUAUCCUUUCUUAAGAAGUUAGACUAUCACUAUGAAUCUUCUUUGCUUAUCACAGAGAAAAUUCAUAGUCAGGGACUAUCUCCUUACAAAGGAAACACUAAUGUCAGUACUUCUUUUUUUGAAUCUCAAUGUUUCGAUAAAAUUCGAUGAAUAAUAAUAAUAAUAAUCUACUGUCAUUGUAGCAGGGCUAUCAGCAUAUAUGAAUGGGGCGAACACUAGUUGAUGAAAUGCAAUUAGUGUCAAGCUAUCUCGUUCACACAGUAAGAAUUGAUUAACCUAUGCAACAACAGAAAAGCUUGUCUCCAUCCAUUGGCACGGCUAUUUAAGCCGAUCGACGUUUGCCUCACGUGCACUGACGAGAAAGGAAGGAACUUUGGAGGCUGCAUGUGGGACAACUACGAUCUGCAGUGGGGUCGGUGGACACUCCCACACCGUCUCAUAUGUGGGCUGGAUAUGUGGAUUGCUAGCCAGACCAUGCAUUUGAGAUUGGUUUUUUAUGACCAGAUUGGCCGUUAAUCCGAACGUUUGAAGCAAGUUUGAGAUGCGCGCCGGUAGACGCUCGCAUUACAUGAAGACGAUAGGCGCAUCGCUUUAUCGCGGUGGGGCGUGGGGUGGCCAUGCCGGUGCGGUGCGGUGGCUCAUGGAGUCAUGGCUCCUGCCGGCUCUCAGGUCCACGCGUCCACGUCCAGCUAGUCAUCGUCUGUCCCGGAUAGGGUUUGGUGGGGCCCGGGCCCGCCAGGCAAUGGCAGUGCAUGCAAACAAACGAACAAACGCUUGUCGACUCUGACCAGAUGCUGUUCACCGAGGGGAGAUGAAUGAAUGGGACAAAAUUACUGUUCUGACCUAUUUAGCUAAGAAAAUCCCGAUUUGACCUCGUUUCAAAAGAAAUUUCGUUUGUGACCUUUUUAGGUGAUGCCAACAUCCAUGGCGUCUGGGUUGCGAAGCAGACGCCAGGGGCCCUGGCGUCUGGUCCCUGGCCCGCACUGCCUGCCCGCCCGUUGACCUGCUGACGUGGCAAAGGGGCCAGACGCCAGGGUCCCUGGCGUCUGGCCCUGCUAACUAGAUAACCCACGGGAGAGUGUGUGGGACCCACCCCACACACUUUCCCCAAUCCUCAACCCGAGCUUGAAGAACACUUGGAGCUCUCAUACUCUCUCCUACCCCUCAAGCUCCCCCUCAAAUCCUCUCCAAAAGGUACAUCCCUUAGGUGGAUCUUUCCAUUACUUUGUUGCUCUUGUUAAUCUCCCCCAAAUCAUCCAAUUAUUUUUUGUUAAAUCUUGUUAUUUUGGUUGCAUUUUAUACAUGUUGGUGGAACCCUAGUUCAUGUUUUCUCCCUUAUGUUAGUGUGAAUGGCUUGAUUAUUGGUGAAUUGUAUGCAUGGUGUGCAGUAGGAAUGUAUGCUUGUUGAGUAGAAAGAUUGGGGGUUAGGGUUAGUUAGUGAUUAGGGUUAACUUUGCUUAGUGUGUGUUAAUUAGUGAUAAUUUGGUGGACAUCACCAAUAAUUUAGUGUUGAUAUGAUUUGGAUAUAAUAAUAUGUAUUUUGAUAAACACCAAUUCUCAUUGAAGUCUUAAAUGCAUUCAUGUUAUUUUUAGAUGGAGAGACUUGUUAAUGUUCAUUACAUGGACAAGGAGGCAUUCUUGAGUAACAAUGCCGACGCGGGUGAGGAACCAUUGGUUUUUGAUACAAGCCCUAGCUAUGAGGAUGUUGCUACAAAAGUGAGACAAGUCUUGAAGUGGAUGGACACCAAUGUUGAUGUUAAGUUAACAGGAAGGUAUGAUGUUGGAGUUGGAGCCAAAUCUCGCUUGAAAAGUAUGCCUAUCACCUCGGAUUUGCAUUGGGAUGUAUACAAGGAAAAAGUAUCCCAAUCGGAAGACAAGUCACUUGAAUUGUUUGCCACCAAGGUUGAAUCUCCUCGGUUUACCUUUGAUUUGAACCGGCAUGUCUCUUCCCCAAUGGAUGACAUGAGCGAGAGGACAAUGGUGCCACUUGUUGAGCAUAGGGUUGUGGUUGAUGCCCCCAAUGUUUAUCCCCCACCACGUCCCCGUGUACCAUCUAUCAAAGCAAAUGUGGUUGAGUUGUAUGCCCCCAAUGCUUCUAGCCAACCACCAACUAGCCAAGCAAAUGAAGUUGAGGUGAUUGCUAGUGACGGAGUAAUUCAAGAGGAUGAAGAUGCUUAUGAUGACGACGAAGAGCAAGAGGAAGGGUUUCAUGGUAAUGAUGUUGGAGACUUGGACGCGUACAUAACGCAAAAGGACAUGGAUCGUGACUUGCCUUUUAGGCGUCAAUAUGCGUAUGAUUCGGAUGACGAGGGUCCAGUUGAACAGUUGGACGAGGAUGGAUUCACAAAGGAGGAGAACCAAAUCCACUUUGAGCUGACGGGCUUACGAAAAAGAACUUACUUGUUUAAAGAUCUCAGCCUUGCCCAUAAAGCUGUUGUUGACGGUGGAAUGAGAAUGACGGUGAUUGAGCCAACACCAUGCCCGGAUCCAGGAGAACCAAGGGUGGAGAAUGAGGACGAGAAUGCUUAUUUGAAGAAAGGAGUGAAGUUUCUGAGCUUGCCUAUGCUGAAGUUUUGGUUGGCUGACUAUGCCAUUCGAAACCAUAGGCCAUUUUAUGUUGAGCACUCCGACAUGAAGUUGCGUUACAUCAUGGUGUGUGAGCAAGAAGGAUGCCCAUGGAAGGUUCGUGCAAGAAAGCUUAAAGAAACCGAAGAAUGGGUGUUAAAAAGUUGUGUUGCCACUCAUAGAUGCAAACCUCCAUCUAAACGACUUAGAAAGACACACCGUCAACUCACAUCUGAAUAUCUUAGAUACAAAUGGAUGAAAGACAUAGGCUUUGAUCCCACUGUGAAAGUGAGGUUUCUCAUGCGGAUGGUGAAAAAACAAUUUGGUUAUGAAGUCAAGUAUGGGAAGGCAUGGAAGGCAAAGGCAAAUGUUAUUAGGAUGUUGUAUGGUGGUUAUGAAGAAGCAUACAACCAGCUCCCAAGGUUGUUGGCCGCGAUUGCACAUAGGAACUCGGGCAUGUUUCAUGUGGUUGAGGAUCACGAGGGAGUGUUCCACCGUGCCUUCUGGAGUUAUGGACAAUGUGUGGAGGCGUUUCAGCAUUGUCGUCCGGUUUUGUCUAUAGAUGGCACGUUCUUGACCGGUAGAUACAAGGGCACACUAAUGGUAGCAAUGGUGCACUCAUCAAACGACAACGUGUUGCCGUGUGCAUUUGCUUUGGUGCCUUCCGAGCACCAAGACAACUAGGAGUGGUUCAUGGGUCAUGUUAGGCACAACGUGAUUGGGGCUAGGGAGGUAUGCAUCAUAUCGGACCGGCAUCAUGGCAUACUCAAGGCAAUGGACAUUGUUAUUCCAGGAUUUCCAAAGCUUCACCAUAGAUGGUGCAUGAGGCAUUUCGUGGCCAACUUUUACCGGGCAUGUAAGAGCAAGGAGCUCAGCAAAGACCUUACCCAUGUAUGUGUGGCCUUCACCACCCAAGGUUUCGAUGCUCGGUACAACAAACUCUUUGCAGCGGUGAACGUAGGGGGAAAAGACUUCUUAACUAGGAAUUUAAGCGAGAAGCACAAGUGGGCACGCGCUCAUGACGAUGGUGGUUGGCGAUAUGGCGACAUGACGAGCAAUCUGGUAGAAUGUUUCAACAAUGUGUUGAAGGGUGCUCGUGCAUUGCCGGUGACUGCAAUAGUGGAGUACACCUUCUUCAAGCUUAAUGAGUACUUUCAGAGGCAUUCUGAAGAGACUGCAAAAUGGAUAGGUGAAAAAAAAGAUUAUCCGGAAAAGGUUGAUGAAUGGUUGCAGUUACAAGCAAGCAAGUCUUCACGGCAACAAGUUAUCAUAUUCCAUAGAAUUGAAAUGAUCUAUCAAAUUGAUGAGCCAGGUGGCACAACACGAGACGGUAGAAAAUAUGGUGGUGCUGCAUUUGAGGUGAAACUGAAGACUCGGUGGUGCCAGUGCGAGAGGCCUAGUAAGUAUCAUUGGCCAUGCUCGCAUUUGAUAACGGCGGUGAAGGCGAGAAACAUACAUGUUUGUGAUGGAAAAACCGUGCGGAUGCAAGAGUUCCAUGUGGAAGCUACUAGGUUGACAUGGGCGCCAAGAUUUCACCCUUUCCUAGACCAAUCACAGUGGCCUGAGUACCAUGGCCCUCAUAUUAGGCCAGACCCUCUUCUGAAGGUGGAGACGAAGGGUAGCAGGAGAACUAAGAGGUUCAGGGGUGAUAUGGAUGACCUGGAUGGAUACACUGGCAUGAAACUAUUUGGUAGCGGUCAUUUCAUGGAGGCUCCUGACACUAUCAACUGUGGGGUGUGCGGUGAAGGGGGACACAAUGAGCGGACAUGCAAGAAUAAGAAAACCAAAAAAAACAAGUCGUGGAGGCGGCACCGAUGGUGAACGAGGUGGAAUAGGUGACGGUGGUGGUGGUCGAGGAAGCACAAGUGUCAGAGGUGGUAGUGGUGGUCGUAGAGGGAGCACAAGUGCUAGAGGUGCUAGUGUUCGUAGAGGGAGUAAAAGUGCUAGAGGUGGUGGUCGAGCUAGCACAAGUGCUAGAGGUGGUGGUCGAGCAAGCACAAGUGCUAGUGGUGGUGGUCGAGCUAGCACAAGUGCUAGAGGUGGUGGUCGAGCUAGCACAAGUGCUAGAGGUGGUAGUCGAGCAGGCACAAGUGCUAGACGUGGUGGUGGUCGGAGAGGAAGCACAAGUGCUAGAGGUGGUGGUGGUCGUAGAGGAAUGGUUGAUAAAGGAUCGGCCUUCGGUUAUUUGCUUAAUCCAGAUGGUUGAUCUAAUAAUAAUGGUAUAUUAUUUGUUCAUACAAUUCCUAGCAUUUAUUCAUUUAUUGUAUUUAUGCAUUUACUCUCUUUAUGUCUUGUGCUGACAAUUGUUCUUUUUGUAGGCAUGGCUUCAUCCGGUUCCAGGACAAGGCCGGCGUGCGCGGACCAAGAGGACAUGCCGAAGACGUGGAUGGAGGCUAGUUUGGACAAGGAGAAGGAGAAGGAUAUGCCCACACCAUCAUGUUGGUCUAGUGAUGUUUGCAAGCUGAAGGUGUCCACUGACCGCAACAAGUCAUGGACAGAAGGUAGAAGGUUUUUCGUGUGUCCCAACUUUGCACAUGAUCGUUGAAGGCCAACUAACGCAUAUGACAUACCACUGGUAUGUUAGGUGUGCAUACAAAAAACAUCAACAAGUUGUCACUCAUAUGUCUAACAAAAACAUGGUUUAUAUGUAGUCCCCUCCUCCACUUUGCAAGUACUUCACUUGGAUAGAUCACGAGGUACCAAAAGAUGUCCAAGAGGACCAAUGUCGAGAUUGGUUACGAAGGCAGCACCUAUUCGAGGAGUCCUAUGCACGGGGAUUGGAGCGGGAGCGUAGUGAGAAGGAGGCUCGUGAGGCAAGAAGCGUGAGGAAGAGAGGGCACGCAAAGAGAAGGAGGCUCGUCAAGAAGAGAGGGCAAGAAAACUUGCAAGGGCUCGCGAUGCACGAGAGGAGGACGAGGCACGUGACAAGAAGGGAAAGUGGCCCCGUACUACUCAGUAGACAAAUGGAAAGGCACCAGCGUCGAUGAUGAACUGUCGAGACUUUGUUUAAUGUAUGAACUUGUUAUUCGAGACCUUGUGUGGUCAUGAACUACUUAUGUCAUUCGAGACAUCGUGUGUGAACUUGUUAUUCGAGACCUUGUGUGGUCAUGAACUACUUAUGUCAUUCGAGAUAUCGUGUGUGAACUUGUUAUUUGAGGCCUUGUGUGGUCAUGAACUACUUAUGUGCAACCUAUUUGAAAUUGUAUGCAAACUAUGCUAUGUUCAGAUUUUUGUGUGUGUGCACUAGUCUGGAAAUUAGCACAACCAGACGCCAAGGGCCCUGGCGUCUGGAUUCGUAUCCAGAGACCCAGAUGCCACGGUCCCUGGCGUCUGGUAAACUAACCAGAGAGCAUUUUUGAUAUUUUGGAAUUUGCACACCCAGACGCCAAGGUCCCUGGCGUCUGGUUUACUAACCAGAGAGCAUUUUUGAUAUUUGGGAAUUUGCACGCCCAGACGCCAAGGUCCCUGGCGUCUGGUAAACUAACCAGAGAGCAUUUUUGACUUGCAUUGCUACAGGAAACCAAGUUAUAUGUGAUGUUCAUGUCGUUUCAACUAUCGUGGACCAUCGUGGUCAUGAACUACUUAUAUAAUUCGAGACAUUUGUGUAAUUUGAGAUUGUGUGAUGAACUUCUCAUUCGAGACUAUUUGUGUAAUUUGAGAUUAUGUGAUAACUAUGUUUGUCAUUUCCUAUUAUGUGAACACUAAUGUUUGUCAUUCGAUACUAUAUGUGUUUGCUAGAACAAAAUAUCUAUGUCAUUCGAUACUAUAGGUGUUUGCUAGAACAAAAUAUCUAUACUAUACCGUGACUACUAGAACAAAAUAUCUACUAGGACAAAAUAUGAACAAAAUGGAAAAACUACUACACCAGGGCCAGACGCCAGGGUCCCUGGCGUCUGGGUGCCCUGUUUCUGCUGUCCAAUGCUCUGCUUCUGCUUCCAGUCGACCACCAGACGCCAGAGAUCGUGGCGUCUGGUCCCCUGACUUCAAGACAGACGCCAAGGACCCUGGCGUCUGGGUCCCCUGUAUAUUUCAACAUUAUUUUGGACUUUUUGUUUCACACAAGAAUAUAGCACAUAUAUAAUAUAUGACAGGUUCAUAGAACACAGAAGAUAGCACAUUGGUUAAAACUUGCAUACAAACGACAACAAGUCCACAGAUCACGACAAAUUCAUGCAUACAUAACACACCAAGUGCAUACAUAACACACCAAAUUCAAGACAACCUAAAAAUAAACACACCAAACUUGCAUACAAAGUUUUUAGCACGACACCAAGUUCAUGAAUACAAACGCCACCUAGUUCAUGCACUUCCAAACAAGAAGCUCACUUCCUCCUUCCUCUCUUCACGAUAGUUGCAAGUGUAGGCUCCUCUUCACUAGCCUCCUCCUUCGCCUCAAUGUUGGCCUUAUAUCUUUGCAUUCCUGUUGGGAUAAGUUGAUGAGGAUACUACGGACUAUGGAAUUGUGUGUUCCAUGUCUUCUUUCUACCUUUCUUGCCUGGUGUCUUAGCUAUGGCUUUGCCUUUCCUAGAGCGAGCAUUGCCUUGUGUCGGUUGUGAUGGUUGUGGAGCAUCAACAUCAUACUCAUGAUCCUCUUGUUGUGUUGCAUCAUACUCAUGCUCCUCAUGAUGUGUUGGCUCCUCUUGAUGUGUUGGCUCCUCUUGAUGUGCUGCCUCCUCCUCCAUGUCAUCAUCGUUUUGGAGUAAACGCCGUCUAUGAGCUCUGGCGGCGCGGGUACCAGGUGCGUACACGUCACUGGAACCGUUUCUUGAACUUCUGCAACAACACAAAAUAUGCUAUGAUAUGAGAUGCAAAUGAAUAAUCCGUGAAAAGAAACUUUUCUAAUAUAUUGGUCACACCUCCAUCGUGCUCCUAAGAGUUCUCUCAGAUAAUCCACCACCAAGUGGAUGACUCAGUGCAACAUUGGCAUCGUUGACGCAUAGAAGCAACUCUCGUCCCUGUAAUUCAUGAACACACCAAACUUAUGUAUUUGAAAGAAGACAACAUGAUGCAAAUAUGUUAGAAUAGGUCAAACAGACUACCAUUUCGUCAUGCAUCGGUGCGUAGUCAACAUGAGCCCCUCUGGUGUCUCUCACAGCCGUGUUGAAGGUAUGAUAACCUUCUGCAGUCUCCAGGUCUUCAGACACCAACUCCGACCACUCCUCGUGAGUCCAACCUGGCUUCAGCUUUAACCGGUAACGAUCCGCAUACCACACUUGAUACUUCUGAUAUGCUAACUGAUUGUGAGGUCUAUUCUCUGAUUGCACUAGUGUGUCUCUUUGAUUCCAAAUUUCUAUCCAUGCAUGGUGUUUGUUUGCCCAAUCCGAUAUAUCCUGAUUGUUCCUUCGAUCGAACCUACAAAUCAUGCACGGUACAAAGCAUUAGCAAACAUUGACUUAUUCAAUGCUCUACUACAUACUCAAGGCAUGCUUGCUUACCGAUGCAGAGAUAGCAUUUGCUCUUUGCUCUCCUCAAUUGGAAUACCUUGUCUUCUUCCAAAUUGUCUUGCCACACGGUCUACAAAGUGCCACUCGACUGCAAAGAAGCAUAUCAUUGGGCACCUCGCCCGCCAAAGAUGGCUAUCACGCGUGCACAUCUCAUUAAGAUCAAAGUCACGAUCUUGCACAUAAGGGAACCAAUAUACCUGCAAAACAAAGAGAUACAUUGUUAGCUGCAUAAGCUUCAUUCUUGACUAAAUUUUAUCUCAUCGAACUUCUCAAAACCUGCUCAGCAGUCAAGGUGUCCAGCUCGUUCAUAUAGCACUUGUAUCGCACAUGCGAGCUUCCUGUGUAGACUGUCACUUGUUCCCAAUAGUAAGCAAGCGUAGGGCGCCGAUAUGGAUAAUCAUCAUGCAAGCCGUCAUGAUUACCCCGUGGGUUUGCCAUGAGGUGGUUCUUGAAAUCGGGCCGUCCAACCGGGAUCCGCUCCCACAUCCACACGGAUAGGCUCCAAACAAACCCAGACAAUGAGGAUGUAUCUCCCUUCCUCCGACACGCCAAGUCAAGCUGCAAUCAAACAAACAUGUUAGAUAUGGAGGCGCAUGACAAAUGCAAGAUAAAUGGUAGCAAAUAUCUCUUACCUGACGAUACAAAUAUGCUAGUGCGGCCGAACCCCAGCUAUACUGGGUAUCCCAAUUAUCGAGUAGCUCCAAGAACAUCCAGAGGGCUGAGUUCCCGGUUGCAUCUGAGAAGACUACCUUGGUUAGUACAUACCAAAGAUAGGCCUGAUGGGGUCAUGUACCUAGGGUAGGGUCAUGGACCUGAUCUAAGUACCUUACCCAAGGACACCCUUAGAAGAGGUCGCCUUCCAGUCGACCAACGAGGGACUCACUCGACUGACUUGAAGGACUCGACCACAAAGACUCACUCGACCACCAGGAGGUCAAGAGGCAUUCUGCACUGCAACGGCCUGUAAUUAAGUAGACUUUAUGGCAGUAAAGACACUUUAUGUGAGGCGUUAUCAGUAACGCCCCGGACUUAACUCACCUUAAAACCCUCUCCUACGUGGGCUGACUGGGGUCUUGGCGCACUCUAUAUAAGCCGCUCCCCUCCACAGGUAGAGGGGUUCGGCACCUUGUAACUCAUAUACUCAUAAUCCACUCGACCGCCUCCGGGCUCCGAGACGUAGGGCUAUUACUUCUUCCGAGAAGGGCCUGAACUCGUACAUCCCUUGUGUUUACAACCUCUCCAUAGCUAGGACCUUGCCUCUCCAUACCUACCCCCCACUCUACUGUCAGGCUUAGAACCACGACAGUUGGCGCCCACCAUGGGGCAGGUGUUUUAGCGAUUUUGUGGAGAAGUUGCGAUUCUUCCGAGUACUUUCAUCAUGGUGUCUGCUGGAGUUUUGGUCAAAGGUCGAGAGAUCUGUCUUGGCACUCUCACCUUCAUCGCCGACGACUCCGCCUGGCUCCAGGAGGCUCCACUCGACGUUGAUGCGCUCCCCGUCCGCGGUGCGACGCAUUUUCGCGCAUGUGUCUGCGGCGUUCUGCUGCGGCAACCGUCGACCCCGUAUCGGACGACUCCUCCAUCGUCCACCCUCCCGGUCUCCCGCCAGCGCAAGCGCUCGGGCCGGUCGAGGCUUCAGCGAUGGAUGAGGCACGCGGUGGCUCGCCAAUCGACCACCACCCAAGUUGCGGCAAUCGAGCCCGACGAAUCUCUCUACGGCUUGUUCGAUCUGUCGACUGGCUCCGUAGAGACUGCAUCCGAGUGCUCCAGCGGCGGAAAUCUUGAUGGUCGACGGGCCCCGCAGUCCCCCUGGCUUCGCCCGUGAUGGUGGAGCAGGUGACGGAGGCGACCCCGCACGAGGCCACGAAGAGUACCAGCCCGAGCCACUCGACUCUCUGCAAAGAGAGGAACUUCGCCGCAGGAACGUGAAUGCUCUGCGUACUCCCAUCGCAGGAGAAACCCCCGAGGCUCGUGCCUUGGAGGAGGCGCGUCUGGCCAAUUUGGCCGAACGCACUCGACUGGAGAAUCUUCAGCGAGCACUCGACGAGCGCGCGCGGCAACGAGUUCCUGACCCCAGUCGACGUCAACUCUUCCCGCCGACUCAGGUAUAUCGAACCCCAAUCCAGAAUUUAGCAGCUGCGACCCGUAUAGCAGAGUCCAUCCAGCCUUCGCAGUCGGAAGCUGGCAGAGGUUUGCUGCAGAUCAGGGAUCUGCUCCGGGCAGCAGGAGAUCAGAAUUCAGCCGUGUCUCAGUCGCGCAACAGAAUUCACAGUCGAUCCGUCACUGUGAAUACGGUUCAGUCGGCUCACAGCCCCAGAUCGCCUCCGCGGCGUGAAGGGCGCGAGAAUCGGCGAGAUCAAUAUGGCGACCGACUCGACCGAGAUGAUAGGCGUCGAGUGCCCAAUUCCCCUCCGAGGGGUGGGUCUUACGCUCCUCAGCAGCAAGAUGACAGGCGUCAGUACAGUACAGGGCGAAGGGUUCCAGUCGACCCCAGAGAACCAGGCUUCGACGCGCGAUCCAUUAUCGUGCAAGGUUUGGUCGACCGGAACAGAGCCCAUCGAGGCAGACUCGACAGAGAUGCACCCACAAGCAGUCGAGUGCAUGUUUCUGGUCCUGAAUGUUUCAGCAGAGCUAUCAGAGCCGCAGUUAUCCCUCCCAAUUUCAGGUUGGCAACAGGAGUCAGCAAGUUCACUGGUGAGUCUAAGCCUGAAACUUGGCUUGAGGACUACCGAGUGGAAGUUCAGAUUGGUGGUGGGAACGACGAGGUGGCCAUGAAGCAUUUACCCCUCAUGCUGGAAGGUUCUGCCAGGGCAUGGUUAACUCAAUUACCGCCUAGCAGCAUUUACACUUGGGAAGAUUUGUCCCGAGUAUUCAUCAGAACGUUUGAAGGAACUUGCAAGCGACCAGCUGGACUGACAGAGUUGCAAGUCUGCGUGCAGAAGACCAAUGAGACUCUCAGAGAGUAUAUUCAGAGAUGGAUCACUUUGCACCACACUGUGGAGAAUGUGUCUGAUCAUCAGGCAGUCUGCGCCUUCAAAGAUGGUGUCAAGAACAGAGAACUGAGUUUGAAGUUUGGUCGAACCGGUGACAUGACCUUGAGUCGGAUGAUGGAGAUUGCUACCAAGUACGCCAACGGCGAAGAAGAAGACCAACUCCGAAGCGGCAAGCACAAGCCGAGUCAGUCGGAAAAAGGAAACACCAGUCGGAAACAGAAGCGGAAGGCUGAACCGGCAGCUCCAGGAGAGGCUCUGGCCGUGACUCAGGGAAAGUUUAAGGGGAAACCAAAAGGAUCCUGGAACCCCAAGAAGGUAAAGGAUAAAGAAGGGAACAACGUAAUGGAUAUGCCAUGUCACAUCCACACGAAGAAAGACGAAGAGGGGAAUAUCAUCUACCCGAAGCACACCACUCGCCAAUGUCGACUCCUGAUCCAGCAGUUUCAGGGAAAACAGUCUAAGGACAAGGAGAAGGAGUCGGACAAGGCUGAAGACAAGGAGGACAGUGAGGAAGGAUAUCCGCAUAUCAACUCCACUCUGAUGAUCUUUGCAGAUGUGGAAAGCAGGAGUCGACUGAAAGUCAUUAACCGAGAGGUGAACAUGGUUGCCCCAGCAAAAGCAAAUUAUCUGAAAUGGUCUCAAAUACCCAUCACAUUCGAUCAAUCUGAUCACCCGACUCAUAUUGCCACCCCUGGGAGGCAAGCUUUGGUGGUCGAUCCAGUUGUUGAAGGCACUCGACUGACAAAAGUGCUGAUGGACGGUGGAAGCGGGCUGAAUUUGUUGUAUGCAGACACACUGAAAGGAAUGGGCAUUCCGAUGUCCCGACUGAGCACUAGUAACAUGAGCUUUCAUGGAGUUAUACCAGGGAAGAAAGCCGAGUCACUCGGCCAAAUAGCUUUGGACGUGGUGUUUGGUGAUUCGAAACAUUUUCGCAAAGAAAAGUUGACGUUUGAGGUCGUGGAUUUUCAGAGUGCAUAUCAUGCCAUUUUGGGGAGACCAGCUUACGCACGGUUCAUGGCUCGACCAUGUUACGUGUACCUCAAAUUGAAGAUGCCCGGCCCCAAAGGAGUGAUCGCUGUCACCGGUGAUCGGAAAAAGGCAGAAGAGUGCUUUCAGAAGGGCUCAAAGAUUGUCGAUUCCCAGGUGACAGCGGUCGAGUUCGAGGAAUACAAGCAAAACGCAGAUCCGAGUGACUUGCUGCGAUCAAAGAAACCCGCCACAGAGUCUGCAUUCCAGUCGUCCGGUGAGACGAAGCCUGUUCACAUUCACCCGACCGACCCCGAUGCAGCUCCGACCCGCAUCUCCACAACACUCGACCCAAAAUAGGAAGAAGCGCUCAUCCAGUUCCUCCGUGAGAACUGGGACAUUUUUGCAUGGAAGCCCACUGACAUGCCAGGUGUUCCCAGGGGACUGGCUGAGCAUCGCCUAAGAGUCGACUCGUCUGCAAAACCAGUCAAAGAGCAUCUUCGGCGGUCCGCCGUCCAGAAGAGAAAAGCCAUUGGUGAGGAAGUGGCUCGACUGUUGGCGGCAGGAUUUAUCCGAGAGAUAUACCACUCCGAGUGGCUCACUAAUGUCGUCAUGGUUCCUAAGAAGGACAAGUCGCUCCGAAUGUGCAUUGAUUUCAAGCACAUCAACCGGGCCUGCCCGAAAGAUCAUUUUCCUCUCCCUCGCAUAGAUCAAAUUGUUGACUCGACCGCGGGAUGCGAGAGGCUGUCUUUUUUAGAUGCCUACUCUGGGUACCACCAGAUCCGUCUGUACGGACCCGACGAGGUAAAAACAGCUUUCAUCACUCCAUUCGGGUGCUUCUGCUAUAUCACCAUGCCAUUCGGCCUCAAGAAUGUCGGAGCCACAUUUAUGCGAAUGAUUCAGAAGUGUUUACUCACUCAAAUCAGUCGGAAUGUGGAAGCAUAUAUGGACGAUAUCGUUGUCAAGUCACGAAAAGGUUUCGACCUGCUCGCUGAUCUCGCUGAAACAUUUGCUAACCUCAGAAGAUAUGAUAUCAAGCUCAAUCCAUCAAAGUGCACAUUUGGAGUUCCUGGUGGCAAGUUACUCGGUUUUCUCGUUUCCGAACAGGGAAUCAACGCUAACCCAGAGAAGAUUGGCACUAUUCUCCGAAUGAAACGCCCUGUGCGAGUGCACGAUGUCCAGAAGCUUACUGGAUGCUUGGCCGCAUUAAGUCGAUUCAUCUCACGACUCGGUGAAAAGGCAUUGCCUCUUUACCGACUGAUGAAGAAGACAGACAAGUUCGAGUGGACUCCAGAAGCUGAUGCAGCGUUUGCCGAGCUAAAAGCUCUGCUCUCCACCCAGCCGGUGCUUGCUGCUCCAAUCAGCAAAGAGCCUCUGUUGCUCUAUAUCGCAGCCACAGGACAAGUCGUCAGUACUGUGCUUACGGUCGAGCGGGAAGAAGAAGGAAAAGCUCUCAAAGUUCAGCGCCCAGUGUAUUAUUUGUCUGAAGUCUUGACUCCGUCCAAGCAGAGAUAUCCUCAUUAUCAGAAGCUUGUGUAUGGAAUAUACAUGACCACAAAGAAGGUUGCUCAUUAUUUUUCUGAUCAUUCCAUCACAGUCGUCAGCGACGCUCCACUAUCAGAGAUUUUGCACAAAAGAGAUGCAACUGGUCGAGUGGCCAAAUGGGCGAUUGAACUUCUUCCCCUUGAUAUCAAGUUUGAGGCAAAGAAAGCCAUUAAGUCCCAGGCAAUAGCAGUUUUCCUCGCCGAGUGGAUUGAACAACAGCAGCCUACUGAAGUUCACUCGGAGCAUUGGACCAUGUUCUUUGAUGGCUCUAAGAUGUUGAAUGGUUCCGGUGCUGGGGUUGUCCUGGUUUCCCCCAGAGGAGAUAAGCUCAGAUAUGUGCUCCAGAUUCACUUUGAUUCCUCCAACAAUGAGGCAGAAUAUGAGGCCCUCUUAUAUGGGUUGCGCAUGGCCAUUUCACUCGGCGUCCGUCGCCUGAUGGUCUAUGGCGACUCGGAUUUAGUGGUCAACCAGGUGAUGAAAGAGUGGGACGUGAGAAGCCCAGCCAUGACUGGAUACUGAAGUGCAGUGAGGAAGCUGGAAAAGAAGUUCGAGGGGUUGGAGCUCCAUCAUAUACCCCGACUGAAAAAUCAAGCAGCUGAUGAUCUAGCAAAGAUAGGUUCCAAGAGAGAAGCCAUUCCGAGUGGUGUGUUCUUGGAGCAUAUACACACUCCGUCAGUCAAAGAAGAUCCUUUCACCGAAGAAACUCCACAGCCCAAGAGUGCCACAGAUCCGACUGAGAUUGAGGUCCCAGCGGUGGUCGACUUGAUCAUGGAGGUCUUGGUGGUCAUUCCCGACUGGACAGUUCCAUACGUCGCGUAUAUCCUGAGAAAAGAGCUUCCGGAGGAUGAGGAAGAGGCUCGACAGAUCGUCCGUCGAUCUAAGGUCUUUACCGUAAUCAAAGGACAAUUGUACAGAGAAAGCGCGACUGGAGUUGGUCAGAAGUGCAUAACACCAGAAGAAGGUCGACUCAUCCUCAAUGAUAUCCACUCGGGAACCUGUGGUCAUCAUGCGUCCUCUCGGACCAUCGUGGCCAAAGCAUACCGAUCCGGAUUUUACUGGCCAAAGGCGAAUGAGAUGGCAAAAGAGAUAGUGGAUAAGUGCGAGGGAUGUCAGUUCUACUCGAAUAUGUCGCACAAGCCUGCGUCGGCUCUGAAGACCAUCCCACUCGUCUGGCCUUUCGCAGUAUGGGGACUGGACAUGGUCGGUCCUUUGAGAACAGGACGAAGUGGCUUCACGCAUGUACUGGUGGCAGUCGACAAGUUCACCAAGUGGAUCGAGGCUAAACCAAUCAAGAACCUUGACACCGGUACUGCUGUUAGCUUCAUCAGGGAACUAAUAUUCAGAUAUGGAGUCCCGCACAGCAUCAUUACGGAUAAUGGGUCGAACUUUGACUCGGAGGAAUUCAGAGAUUUCUGCAACUCCCAAGGCACACGGGUCGACUACGCUUCAGUCGCCCAUCCGCAGUCGAAUGGACAAGCAGAGCGAGCUAAUGGACUGAUUCUUAAGGGAUUGAAGCCCCGACUGAUGCGUGAUCUCAAACACGCGGCUGGAGCUUGGGUCGACGAACUUUCCUCAGUGCUUUGGGGGCUGCGGACCACACCUAAUCGGUCGACCGGAAGAACUCCAUUCUUCUUGGUCUACGGAGCUGAAGCAGCCUUGCCGAGUGAUCUUCUCCACAAUGCUCCUCGAGUUGAAAUCUACAACGAAGCAGAGGCUGAACAAGCGCGACAGGACGCAGUCGACCUUUUAGAGGAAGAAAGGGAGAUGGCUCUGAUCCGGUCGACCAUCUACCAACAAGAUUUGCGUCGUUUCCACGCUAGAAAUGUGAGAGGUCGAGCCUUCCAGGAAGGAGAUUUAGUUCUCUGAGUGGAUCAGCACAAACCACACAAGCUUGCUCCUUCUUGGGAAGGUCCCUUCAUCGUCACCAAGGUUCUCCACAACGGGGCGUACCGUCUUUACAACGUCGAGCAUAAUAUCGACGAGCCCCGAGCUUGGAACGCGGAACUACUCCGCCCAUUUUAUACUUAAGUUUUAUCACUCGGAUGAGUUGCAAUAAAGUACUUUUGUAGUUCAUGGACCUCAAAAUAAUAGUGUCAUAGUUCCUCCAUAAUUUCUGUCACUUUUUAUUUUUGUCCAAUAAAAUUCCCCCUCAGUGGGUGACUUAGCCGCGAAUCCGUUUCGCCUAAGUUUGUAAAAAUCCUACCGAGUGAUGAGCCAGACUCCCACUCGGAGGCUUAGCCGCGAAUCCGUUUCGCCUAAGUUUGUAAAAAUCCUACCGAGUGGUGAGCCAGACUCCCACUCGGAGGCUUAGCUGCGAAUCCGUUUCGCCUAAGUUAUCAAAAUCCUACCGAGCGGUAAGCCAGACUUCCACUCAGAGGCUUAGCUGCAGUCCAAGGACUCGCCUAAGUUAUAAAAAUCCUACCGAGUGAAGAGCAAACCUCUCACUCGGGGGCUUAGCUGCAGUCCAAGCACUCGCCUAAGUUAUAAAAAUCCUACCGAGUGAAGAGCAAACCUCUCACUCGGGGGCUUAGCUGCAGUCCAAGCACUCGCCUAAGUUACAAAAAUCCUACCGAGUGAAGAGCAACCCUCUCACUCGGAGGCUUAGCUGCAGCCCAGUGCUAGCCUAAGUUAUCAGAAUCCUACCGAGUGGUAAGCCAGACUUUCACUCGGAGGCUUAGCUGCAGCCCAGUGCUAGCCUAAGUUAUAAAAAUCCUACCGAGUGAAGAGCAAACCUCUCNNNNNNNNNNNNNNNNNNNNNNNNNNNNNNNNNNNNNNNNNNNNNNNNNNNNNNNNNNNNNNNNNNNNNNNNNNNNNNNNNNNNNNNNNNNNNNNNNNNNNNNNNNNNNNNNNCUUAGCUGCAGUCCAAGCACUCGCCUAAGUUGCAAAAAUCCUACCGAGUGAAGAGCAACCCUCUCACUCGGAGGCUUAGCUGCAGUCCAAGCACUCGCCUAAGUUACAAAAAUCCUACCGAGUGAAGAGCAACCCUCUCACUCGGAGGCUUAGCCGCAGUCCAAGCACUCGCCUAAGUUAUAAAAAUCCUACCGAGUGAAGAGCAAACCUCUCACUCGGGGGCUUAGCUGCAGUCCAAGCACUCGCCUAAGUUACAGAAAUCCUACCGAGUGAAGAGCAACCCUCUCACUCGGAGGCUUAGCUGCAGCCCAGUGCUAGCCUAAGUUAUCAAAAUCCUACCGAGUGGUAAGCCAGACUUUCACUCGGGGGCUUAGCUGCAGCCCUGUGCUCGCCUAAGUGGACUAAAGAAUAAGUCGAUUGCAGUAAAGGCGCCUUGCUUUGAACCUGCAAAAGACAUUUCGAGCCAAAAGCAAUCGUAUUCAAGCACCAAAUUCAAGUUUGAAUCAAUAUCUAAAGGAACCGAAAGUGCUCAGGCGUUAAGCAUGUUAAGGUUUAUCGGUUACAAUUCCACUCGGCAUACCGAGGCAAAUUUAAAGCGUCGAGCCAGAAGAAGUUUUUUACACCUCCUGUGGAGGGCUGGAAGGUGCAACGAAUUCAUCAAGGUCAAUUCCGUCGGCGAUCCGAGUGGCAGCCGCAAGGAAAGUUUCCAUAAAGGACCUGAAGUCGUGUUUCUUGGUGUUGGCCACCCGAAGGGCCGCCAGCUUCUCUUCUCGCGCAUCUUUACAGUGGAAUCGGGCCAGACACAGAGCAACAUCUGCACCACACCGAGCCGAAGACUUCUUCCACUCCUGCACUCGACCAGGGAUCGUGUUCAAGCGGGCCAUCAGCGACUCAAGGUCAUUCUGAAGUGUCUCCUCAGGCCAGAGCGUCGAGUCGAUGCGAGAUGUGGCGGCCUUCAGCCUUGCGAGAUAGUCCACGACAGCUGCAACACGAGACUCCAGUCGGAAAACAUCCAUGGCAACUUCGUCGUUCACCGGAGAAUUGACGGGGUCGAGGUUUGGCUCCAGCCGGCUAGUUUCUUCUUCAAAGUUUUGACAAAAUUCUGCAAGGAUGAUCACUAAGUCAAGGGGAUGGUCGAAUGGAAAAACCACGAUUGGAAAUGUUUGCCGAGCAUAGAGGUUUACCUUCAAGCAUAAGAAACAGCUUCUUGGCAAGACCACUCAGGAAGGCCUCCAGAUCAUUUUUCUUCCCAGUCAACUUACUGACUUGGUCGGUCAGGGCAGCUUUAUCAGUUUUUAGUCGACUGACCUCCUUGUUGGCGAUCCCAAGAGCAGCUUUCAGAUUGGUAUUGUCUUGUUCAAGCUUGGUGACUGAAGCUAACUUCUCGUCAGCAAGCUUGAUCUUCUCAGCUAGUUCGAGGUCUUUCUUCUGUUGGGCCUCCCUUACCUUACCUGCCAGUUACAGCAAGAUCAGAUUUUGAAACAAGCAAGGGGAAAAGCAGUCGUCAGGGUCUCACCAAACAUACCUUCGGUCUCCUCCUUUGCCUUCGUCAGCUUCUCCUGAACCAGCUUCAAGCUCAGCUCGAGUUGAGUGUGCUUGUUUUCCAGCUCAGAGUAGCGAGCCACAAGAUCACAGGAGUUCUGCGAAGAACCAAUCGACUAAAUGUCAAAUAUAAUUCACUUCCGAGUGAAAAAGGAAAAAAUCACAUGUUUCUAAGACUACAGCCGAAUACAAGCAUUCGACCGUAGUCUCGGGGACUACACCCAGUGGGUGCACUCAGCGUGCCCCCACUAAUCCUGUUGAAGACAAAGUCGACCAGUCGACCUCAAAAAAAAAA